GCUGCACCAACGUUUCCACAUUGUGGGGGCUUGUUCUCUCCUCGUCCAGGGAGGCGAUGACUGGGCGUGCGAUCCUGGGACUCUCUCGUCUUGUAUCUUGGAGCUACGAGUCUGCCGUAAAUAGAAACAGCAAUGUGAGUCGGCACGGUUUAGGAAAGCUACAACCGGACAGUUGGAUUCUAAUACGAAUGCAUUUGCUGAGCAGUCAGUCAAGAGGCUGCUAAUCAAGAAGCUAGGGAUAGAGUCUAACCAACUAUCGGUCACAUUAAGCGUACAAGCACACUUAGCACAAAGAUGUGCAGGAACCGGGAUUAGUAUACGGAUUAUAUAACAGUUCAAAUCUUCAAAUAAUAAAAUACAACUAAAUACGGAGUAGUAUUUUCCAUGCUAGGGAGUACAUAGGAAUUGGAGCGACGGGAAUGUAAACGAUGGCGUUGGUCAUUUCAACAAACACCUUGCUUGCGCUUCCUCCUCAUCACCGGCGGACUUCGCGUUACUUCUCCUCUUCUUCCUCCUCCUCGUCGUCGUCGUCCACGUUGGAUCCGGCGCCCAGGUCCAACGUGAACCCCUCCCACCCCUCCCCAUCGGUGCCGUCCUCCUCGCCGUCCGCGGCGGCCGGCUCGGGGUCCUUCUCGACGUAUCCAUAGGCGUCGGCCUCGCCGUCGGAGGUGGAGUACCCGUCAGGUCUAGUGGGCGGCAUCCGCCGCGCCAUGCGCGCGUAGCCCCGGCCGUCGGCGGCGCGGAGGCGGGCCUCCGGCUCCGGGCGGCGUCGGACCAGUAUUGCCGCGGCCGCCACUGGCCGACGAGGGAUCCAGGCCGCGCGCCCGCGCAGCAUGGAGGCCGCGCGUCGGAGCAUGCCGUGCCGUGCCGUGCCGCGUCUGUGCCGUGCCGUGCCAAAGCGUGGGAACCGGAUGAGCGCCGGAAGAAGAAGAAGAUGCGGCAGAAUUGUUUCUCCUCGUCGCCGGGGACGCCGGACGCUUUUUUCUUUACUUCAAGGGAUACCGGACGUUUCUGGACCUCACGCAAGCGAAGGCCCACUAGGCCCACAAGACUUGAGAUUGAAUCCUUAUCCCUUCAUAUUCUUUUUAGUAGGUGGAAAAAAUAUGCAGAACAAAGUUUAGCUACAUGAUUUUUUUAAAUGUACAUGGCAGACUUAUACAUUUUUGACCUUGUCACAUGGUACCACUGAACAUUUUUUUAGUAAUUCUCACAUAUCAAGUUAUUCUGUACAUGUGAUUUUUUUAGAUUUUUUUCUCCUGGCCCCAUGGAAAAUUCUUAAUAUGUUUUGUCUUACAAACAUGGUAAUUUUAGGGUUUUUUGUAAUGCUUCCAUGUCAAGCUUUGGGAAGUUUUAUUAUUUUAUGCAAUGCAUUUUUGGAAAAUAUUUUUAUACUUUCGCACAUGUCAAUUUUUUUAUAAUAAAAUGGAAAUUUAUUUAUUUAUAGCAUGAAAAAUUAUUUUAAUUAACAUGAGCAUUUUAUUAUUAAGAUCAUGCCAAUUUUAUUUUUAAUAACAUGGCAGUUUUAUUAAUGUCAUGUCAUAUAUAUUUUUAUCAUGGCAAUUUACUGUGUGUGAUUUUUAUGUUUUUCAAAACGAAAAUUUAAAGCAUGGGAAAUUCCUUGUACUUAUUUUUAGUUAAUAUGUGAAUUUGCCAUGUACGAUAUUCUUUGUCUGCAUUUUGGACAAUGGUACUGUCUUUGCUGGUUUCUUCCAUUUUAGGCAUUUUGGAUAAUGGUCUUUUUUUUCAUUUAGGUAUUUAUUUGGCAUGAUACCAUGGCAAUUUCCAAUAGCUGUUUUAUAGUGUAUUAUGUCAAUUUUCUAUAGUAAAAAUGAUCAAGGCAGUGCAAAGAACACCAAAAAUUAAAUAAUCACGUCUAGAUCUGUUCAUGAUGUUUCAUACAUGCAAAAGUUAUUGAUGUGAAUGGGUUGCAUACGCUCGAUGAUAUGGCCUCACGUUAAAAAAACAGCAUUUGCUUGCGAUUGUUUAACAAAGUGGUGCAUGGGUUAUUUAUUUGGAAAACGUUAUCAUUCAACCGGCGCAUGUUUGUGUAUGCGUCCACCUCCUCCGUAACCGUCGGAUUUGAUUUCGAUCACGUCGUACGUUCAUGUCCGCUUCAAGUUUCUGCAACAACAUCAUUGUUGCGGAACAAUGGCAAAAAAGACGAAUGUGUUAGUAGUGCGCGCGGCCAGAUGUUGUUUUAUUUGUAAUAAGGAUUUUGUCACAGAAAAUUAGACGCACUGGGAGAUGUGUUUGCAGUGCUUGCAACAAGUGUUUUGUUGCAGAAAAUAAAAAAAAAUUGCAACAAAGGACUUGUUGCAGGAAAUUAAAGAAGAGAGAGUUUCGCAACAAUGAUGUUGUUGCGGGAAAUUAGAGAAAAGAAGGUUCCGCAACAAAAGUAUUAUUGUAGAAAAUUAGAGAAGAGGACCUGAUACCUCACGUCACACAGAAUCGAACGGCUUGCGAGACGACGGAUCUUUUUAAAAGAUUAGAAAGAUCCAUCGACCGACGCAUAGCAGACCCCUAUUUAUUUAUUUUUGUUGCGAGCUAUUGAAUGAUGUUUGUUGCCGCUGACAUGAAAAAAAUUAAUAUAUGCCACACAAAAGGCCUCGACAUUGCCAUGCCAAUGGCAUAUACGCAAACAAGAAAUAUCUAGGUGGUGGAACGGGUCAGGAGUUCCUGUUCCGAGGCUAUUAAAAUCCUUUUUAGCCUUAGUGGACAAUUUAGGUGCAUAGCAUAGAUGGUAUUCACGGCGAUCUUCUUGGCAUUAUGGAAUAAAUUCCCACUGAGGCCUUAUUUGAUACUAGUGUAUUUUAGAAAAUUUAUGUUGAUUAUUACGAUUAAAUCUCUCAAUCCCCAUAUAUCUCAUAACAUCAUUUAGUUCUAGUGUAUUUGACAUGUUUCAUCCCCACAUUUUUUCUCAAAUCCUUAAAUUAUAGUGCAUUUUUCUCAAUACCCAAUACACUACCCCUACUUAGUGUAUUGGGGAUAAAUGGGGAUUUGAAGGGAUUGGGUGAAGGUUGGGGUUUCACCCAAUCCUUUGGGGGAUUAUCCCCACCAAUCUCCUCAAAAAACAUUAGUAUCAAAUAAGGCCUGAACGGGUUAUUCCUUCUAACCCCACUGGCUAUAUUUUCAAACUUUCUAUUUACUUUUAGCUAUGGCAACCUAUAGUAAGGAAUAAGGAUGGCCAUGAUGUGCUAGGCAAGAUUGAGUACAUUCACAACACUAAUAGAUCAAGUCUUCACCAACCAUGAUAUACCCUAGUAACUAUCUUAUUUAGUAGUGUGUGCUUGAUGUUUAAGCUCUAUACCAUAUCUAGCACUAUGUUUAUUUCAGAUUUAGUUUGUAAGACUAUUUGUAUUCCAUUUUGUGUUUUAUUAAUUUAAAAGCCAACCCAUUUUUGCGCCUUCCUUCUAAAAAAGCUAUCUGAAAAUAGGAAGCCAUGGUGUUCCAACUAUAGAAUUAUUUUCUUCCCGUAAAAAAAAGACUUUAGACUUAUUCUCGGCUCUAUGCGCCAUCGACAUAAUGGUAUUCAGUUUACCUUGUUGGUCUGCACCUCGCUUACUUGUGUCAUUUGUCUUAACUGUUCUAAGAGCAUUUACACGUGGACUCCUCAUAUCCUUCUCAAACAUUUAGAUGAUGGUUGUUGUGUAUCCCUUGCAACGGCGUCAGAAAUAAUUGUGUCGACGGUACCAGGAAUCUUUCAGUUGCGGCUACGCCUUAAGGGACUUCCUAGGCAAGUAUGCAAAGGAUUUCCCCCGUGGCCUUGGAGCCUUGCGUUGGUGUUCCCUCGAAGCGAAAAGGGUGAUGUAGCACAGCGACGGUAAGUAUUUCCCUCAGUUUGAGAACCAAGGUAUCAAUCCGGCGGAAGAGUAUCUCAAGAUCCUGCACAAACACAAAAGCUUGCACCCAACGCUAUUAAGGGGUUGUCAAUCCCUUAUAGAUUGUUUGCCAAGUGAGAACUGAAAGCAACAAAGUAAUAAAGCAAAGUAAAAGCGAAGUUGUAAACGAUGGAUGUGAAUAGACCCGGGGGGCGUAGUGUUUACUAGUGGCUUCUCUCAUGAAAGCAAGUAUACGGUGGGUGAACAAAUUACUGUCGAGCAAUUGAUAGAACUGUGCAGAGUCGUGACGAUAUCUAUGCAAUGAUUAUUUCUAUAGGCAUCACGUCCGAAAUAAGUAGACCGAUACUUUCUGCAUCUACUACUAUUACUCCACACGUCGACCGCUAUCCAGCAUGCAUCUAGUGUAUUAAGUCCAUAAGAACAGAGUAACGCCUUAAGCAAGAUGACAUGAUGUAGAGGGAUAAUCUCAAACCAAUGAUAAAAACCCCAUCUUUUUACCCUUGAUGGCAACUGCUUGUUGUGUGCCUUGCUGCCCCUACUGUCACUGGGAAAGGUCACCACAUGGCAGAACCCAAAACCAAGCACUUCUCCCAUUUCAAGAAUCAUAGAUCUAGUUGGCCAAAUAAAACCCAAGACUCGAAGAGACUUACAAGGAUAUCAACUCAUGCAUAUAAGAAAUCAGCAAAGAUUCAAAUAUAUAUCAUAGGUAAUCUGAUCAGAAGUCCACAAUUCAUCGGAUCUCGACAAACACACCGCCAAAGAAGAUUACGUCGGAUAGAUCUCCAUGAAGAUCAUGGAGAACUUUGUAUUGAAGAUCCAAGAGAGAGAAGAAUCCAUCUAGCUACUAACUACGGACCCGUAGGUCUGAAGUGAACUACUCACGAGUCAUUGGAGGGGCGAUGAUGAUGAUGAAAAAGCCCUCCAGCUCCAAAGUCUCCUCCGGCAGGGUGCCGGGAAGGGUCUCCAGAUGAGAUCUCGCGGAAACGGAAGCUUGCGGCGGCAGAAAAGUAUUUUCGAGGCUCCCCCGAUUUUUUGCGGAAUAUUUGGGAAUUUAUAGGCCAAAGAUCUAGGUCAGGGGGCGGCCAGGGAGGCCACAAGCCUACCCACCGCCGCCUCCCUCUAGUGGCGGAGUGGGGGCUUGUGGGCUCCCUGGAGCCCACCUGGCUUGGCCCAAAAGCCCCCUGGACUUCUUCCGUUCGGGAAAAAAAUCAUUUCGGGGUUUUUCUUCCAUUUGGACUCCGUUCCAAAAUCAGAUCUCAAAAGAGUCAAAAACACGAAAAAAAACAGGAACUGGCACUUGGCACUGAAUUAAUAAGUUAGUCCCAAAAAGAUAUAAAAAGGUACAUAAAACAUACAAAGAAGGCAAGAUAACAGCGUGAAACCAUCAAAAAUUAUAGAUUCUUUUGAGACAUAUCAAGCAUCCCCAAGCUUAACUCCUGCUCGUCCUCGAGUAGGGAAGUGAUAAGAAUGAAUUUUUUAUGCUUUCAUGCUACCUAGCAUAGGUGUCCUUUGUAAUUCCUCUUAUGUGACGUGAAUGUUCAGAUCCAUUAGAUUCAAAACAAUAGUUUGCUAUUGACGUGGAAACAAUAAUAAUUCAAGCAAACUAGCAAAGAAAUCAUGAACUUUCAAAAUAACAAGGCCAAAAGAAAGUUAUCCAUGCAGAAGCAUAUAGUCUGGCUAUGCUCUAUCAUCAUUGCACAACGAGUUUAAAUCAUGCACAACCCCGGUAUUGGCCAAGUAAUUGUUUCACACCUUUACUUUCUCAAACAUUUUCAACUCUCACGCAAUACAUGAGCGUGAGCCAUGGUUAUAGCACUGAUGGGGUUAUAGCCCCAGGGUAGGGUCAUAGGGCUGCCCUAUAGGUCCUACCCAAGGACUACCCUUCACAGAGGACAAGAGCCUUAGACGGUUCCGACUGAACUAAGGACUCCCCCACCAUCCAGUCGGCGACGAGCACUCGGAGCAUAUUUAACAUACCGACUGGAAUCCACUUUGUACAUCGUAACCUCCCAGGAGGGCAACGGUCAUACGUUUCCAUACACCAUUAUUAGCAUUUAAGGCUUACGUUACCUGUAACGUGGGCAUUUACUCGCCACUAUUCCACCCCUGUCCACCGGGCAUUAUGAAGGGCAGCGCACUCUAUAUAAGCCGCCCUUCCCCACUGGUGCAGGGGUUGGCUUUUACUGUAACCCUAUAUUCCACUCGACACUAAGCUCCCAAGAGCACUGAGACGUAGGGCUUUUACCUCCACCGUAGAGGGGCCUGAACUCAUACAUCCUCCCCGUAGCUAAGGCUCUGCCCAUCCUUUCGUACCCCAUACAUCUACUGUCAGACUUAUACCCACGACAUUUGGCGCCCACCGUGGGGCAGGCGUCUAAGCGACUUCCGGUGAGUUUGCGAUUUCAUCUUUUCAUCAUGUCGUCCGGCGGAGAUCUAUGCAUGGGUCAUGAGAUCCUCUUCGGCGCACUCUCCUUCGUCAUCAAUGAUUCUGCAUGGCUUCGGGAUGCACCCCUCGACGUCGAGGUGCUCCCCAGUCGCGGGGCUACGCACUUCCGUGCCGGUUCCCGUGGCAUCCUUCUUCUCCAGCCAUCGGCCCCGGUGUCGAUCCUCGCCCCCGUCACGCGCCGCAACAAGCGAUCCCGUCGCCCCCGGCUCCGGCGUUGGGUGCGACACGCCCAGGCGCGAUAGAGCGCGUCCUCUCAAGUGGCGGUGCUCGAAUCGGUUGUGGUCGCGCCGCCAUCCCAGUGCUUGGACUCAGUUUCGACUGAGCUACCUUCCGAGUACCUGGGUCGCGGGCCUGCAGCCGAAUUUCUCAUGGCCGAUUCCCAUGAAAGUCCCCUCCGGACUGGUCGGAACGAGCAUGAGGUCGGAGAAUCAUCCGGCGCUCGUCGUCAACACCGUCGUUCUGCCAGUCGACGCACUCGCGAGAGCGACGUCAAGGUGUUCCACACACCCAUCCUUAACCUCGCUGCGGCUGCCAGGAUAGCCGAUUCUCUCCAGCUGACUGAUUCGGAGGCUGGCGGAGGGAUCGAGCAGAUCCGUGCCCUGUUGCAUACGGCGCAACAGCAAAAUUCAGCGGUCUCCCAGUCGCACAACAAGAUCCACAACAGUUCUGUUCACGCGAACACGCAUCGGUCGGUUUUCAGCCCCAACUCUCAUCAGCGACGCAGAGGGGGCAGCCGUUCCAGGAAUCCCGAAGAUCAUCGCCGUUCACGCACCCCUCCGCGGGGUGGGCCUUAUGGACCUCGGCAUCACGAUUAUCGUCGUUCAGUCGGCGACGCGCAUGAUCCAAGUCCCGACGCAAGAGGGUACAUUGCCCAGAAGAAGGUCGACAGGAGUCGAGCCCACCGUGAUGGUCACGAUAGAGACCGUCCGAGUGGAAGCAGGACCGUCGUCUCUGGCCCCGAGUGCUUCAGUCGGGCCAUCCAUUCAGCUGACAUCCCUCCCAACUUCCGAUUGGCGACGGGAAUCAGCAAGUUCACAGGAGAGUCCAAGCCAGAAACGUGGUUGGACGACUACAGAGUGGCGGUCCAAAUCGGUGGCGGAGAUGACCAGGUCGCCAUGAAACAUCUCCCCCAGAUGCUCAACGGCUCGCCACGAGCUUGGCUGAACCAGUUGGCUCCGUCAAGCAUCUACAGCUGGGUAGAUCUGUCCCGAAUCUUCAUCAGGACCUUCGAGGGCACGUGCAAACGCCCUGCUGGUCUCGUGGAGCUCCAGCACCGUGUCCAGAAGCAGAACGAGCCCUUGCGUGAUUUCAUCCAGCGCUGGACGACCCUCUACCACACGGUAGAGAACGUCACGGAGCAUCAAGCAGUCUGCGCCUUCAAGGCAGGCGUGCGGUACAGAGAUCUGUACUUGAAGUUCGGUCGGACUGGCAACAUCUCCAUGAGCAAGAUGAUGGAGAUAGCCGCACGCUAUGCAAAUGGCGAAGAGGAGGACCGCAUAAAUAGCGGCAAGCAUAAGACAGUCGCCGAUGGAGAUGGAAAAAACAGUCGGAAGCAGAAGCAGAAGGCUCAAUCCACUCCGCAGGCAGAGGCAGCUGCUGUUACAAACGCCAAGUUCAAAGGCAAGGGGAAAGCUCAGUACACCCCCAAGAAGAAACAGUUCGGGAAUUCCAUCCUGGAUCAGCCAUGUCCAAUCCACACGAAGAUGGACGAAGAAGGCAACGCCAUAUUCCCGAAGCAUACCACUCGGCAGUGUCGCCUCCUGAUCCAAGGGUUCGGUGAAGGUCAGCCGAGUGAAAAGGACACCGAGCAGGAUGAUGAGGACAAGGGGGAUCCGUUCCCCCAAGUCCAUGCAACGCUGAUGAUUUUUGCUGAUGUGGAAAGCAAAAGUCGACUGAAGCUGGUGAACAGGGAGGUGAACAUGGCAACCCCAACCACUCCCACGUUCCUCAAGUGGUCACAGACUGCGAUCACCUUUGAUCAGUCAGACCAUCCAGCACACGUACCCACCCCAGGGAGGCAAGCUCUGGUCGUCGACCCGGUGGUGGAAGGAGUCCGACUGCGCAAAGUCCUCAUGGACGGCGACAGCGGUUUGAACAUCAUGUACGCCGACACUCUCAAGGGAAUGGGCAUUCCGAUGUCCAAACUUAGCGAGAGCAGUAUGCAGUUCCACGGAGUCGUCCUAGGACGAAAGGCCAAGUCACUCGGCCAGAUCGCGUUGGAUGUCGUCUUCGGCUCUGACAAGAACUUCCGCAAGGAGAAGCUAACAUUCGAGGUGGUGGACUUCCAGAGUGCAUACCACGCGAUUCUGGGCCGUCCGGCGUAUGCGCGUUUCAUGGCCCGUCCAUGUUACGUGUAUUUGAAGUUGAAGAUGCCAGGUCCCAAAGGUGUGAUCACGGUCACAGGCAAUCGGCAGCGAGCCGAGGAGUGUUUGCAGCAAGGGUCGAGGAUUGCCGAUCAGCAGAUGGCUAUUCUCGAGCUGGAUGAGUACAAGAAGAUCGCCGACCCCGCUGACCUGAUGCGUUCGAAGAAGCCAGCUUCCGAGUCCGCAUUCCAGUCGGCGGGAGACACGAAGAAAGUCAGCAUCCACCCGACGGACGAUGCCGCUGCCCCGACAAACAUCUCCACCGCCCUUGAUCCAAAAUAGGAAGCCGAGCUCAUCCAAUUCCUCCGUGAGAACUUGGACAUUUUUGCAUGGAAGCCCGCUGACAUGCCAGGUGUACCCAGGGAGUUGGCUGAGCACCGACUGCAUGUGGAUCCUGCUGCUCGGCCCGUCCGAGAACGCCUACGUCGGUCCGCCGCGCACAAGAGGAAGGCAAUCGGAGAGGAGGUGGCUAAACUUUUGGCAGCCAACUUCAUUCACGAGGUUCACCACUCCGAGUGGCUCGUUAAUGUUGUCAUGGUGCCCAAGAAGGACAAGUCUCUCCGUAUGUGCAUCGAUUUCAAACUUCUCAAUAAGGUCUGUCCGAAAGAUCACUUCCCGCUCCCCCGCAUUGAUCAAAUUGUUGAUUCGACUGUGGGUUGCGAGCGUUUAUCCUUCCUUGAUGCCUAUUCGGGCUAUCAUCAGAUCCGUCUGUAUGGUCCGGAUGAAUUUAAAACAGCCUUCAUCACCCCAUUCGGGUGUUUUUGUUACAUCACUAUGCCAUUCGGUUUGAAGAAUGCAGGAGCAACUUUUAUGCGCAUGAUCCAGAAAUGCCUCCUAGACCAGAUCGGUCGAAAUGUGGAGGCAUAUAUGGACAAUAUCGUAGUCAAGUCAUGCAAAGGUUCCGACCUACUGACUGACUUGGCAGAAACAUUCGCCAACCUACGUAGGUAUGAUAUCAAGCUCAACCCAGCCAAGUGUUCAUUCGGUGUUCCCAGCGGGAAGUUACUCGGUUUCUUUGUUUCCGAACGAGGGAUCGAUGUCAACCCCGAAAAGAUCGGGAUCAUCGUCCGAAUGGAGUGGCCGGUAAGAAUACAUGAUGUUCAAAGGCUCACAGGUUGCCUAGUGGCUUUGAGCAGGUUUUUCGCUCGACUCGGCGAGAAGGCGUUACCUCUGUACCGACUCAUGAAGAAAUCAGAUACUUUCGAGUGGAUAGACGAAGCCCAAAUUGCAUUCGACGACCUCAAAGCCCUGCUUUCCACCCAGCCGGUUCUUACUGCCCCGCUCAGUAAAGAACCCCUUCUUCUGUACAUCGCGGCUACAAAUCAAGUUGUCAGCACCGUUCUGACAGUCGAACGCGAAGAAGAAGGCAAAGCGUACAAGGUUCAGCGGCCAGUAUAUUAUGUCUCCAAAGUCCUGACUCCUUCCAAGCAGAGGUAUCCCCAUUAUCAGAAGCUUAUUUAUGGGAUCUACAUGACUGCAAAGAAGGUGGCUCAUUACUUCCAAGACCACUCGGUGUCUGUCAUAUCUGAUGCUCCGUUGUCGGAAAUUCUCCACAAUCGGGAUGCAUCGGGCCGAGUGGCAAAGUGGGCAAUGGAGAUGCUAUACUGCGACAUCAAGUUCGAAGCCAAGAAAGCUAUAAAGUCUCAAGCUCUGGCUGACUUCAUAGCUGAAUGGGUAGAACAACAUCAACCGACUCACAUCUACUCGGCUCAUUGGACCAUGUUCUUCGAUGGGUCCAAGAUGUUGAAUGGCUCCGGCGCCGGCGUAGUGAUCAUAUCGCCAAAAGGUGAUAAACUCAAGUAUGUGUUGCAGAUACAUUUUGAUUCUUCCAACAAUGAGGCAGAGUACGAAGCUCUCCUUUACGGAUUGCGCAUGGCCAUCACACUCGGCGUCCGUCGCCUGAUGGUCUAUGGCGACUCAGAUCUGGUGGUUAAUCAAGUGAUGAAGGAAUGGGACGUAAGGAACCCCACCAUGACUGCAUACUGCAACGCAGUAAGGAAGCUCGAGAAGAAGUUUGAAGGUCUGGAACUUCACCAUGUUCCCCGACUGAAAAACCAAGCAGCUGAUGAAUUGGCAAAACUUGGAUCCACUCGGAGACCAGUCCCGAGUGAUGUCUGCCUCGAGCACCUACAUCUCCCCUCGGUGAAAGAAGAUCCUUUCACAGAGGAACCAGUACAACCGAAGAGUUCAACAGAUCCGACUGAAGUCGAGGUCCCCGCUGUGGUUGAUUUGAUCAUGGGGAUUCUUGCUGUCGUCCCCGAAUGGACUGUGCCGUUCAUUGUGUACAUCCUGAGGCAAGAGUUACCAGAAGACGAAGUCCAAGCUAGGCAGAUCGUCCGCAGGUCGAAGUCCUUCACCGUCAUUGAUGGUCAGUUGUACAAGGAAAGUGUUUCGGGCGUCCUUCAACGGUGUAUCUCCCCUGAGGAGGGACAGUUAAUCUUGGAAGAAAUCCACUCGGGAACCUGCGGUCAUCAUGCCUCCUCAAGGGCAAUCGUCGCCAAAGCAUUCAGAGUUGGUUUCUUCUGGUUGCAGGCAAAUGAAAUGGCGAAAGAUAUGGUCGACCGUUGCGAAGGCUGCCAGUUCUAUUCCAACAAGUCCUAGAAGCCAACGUCUGCGCUAAAGACAAUUCCUCUUGUUUGGCCAUUCGCCGUGUGGGGAUUAGAUACAGUCGGACCAUUCAGAACAGGCCAAGGAGGAUUCACUCAUCUGCUGGUAGCAGUAGACAAGUUUACCAAGUGGAUUGAAGUCAAGGCCAUCAAGAAGCUUGACGCCCUUACGGCCAUCAAAUUUAUCAGAGACAUCAUCACCAGAUUCGGGGUUCCGCACAGCAUAAUCACCGACAAUGGCACAAACUUUGACUCGGACAGAUUCAAAGGUUUUUGCACAGGCCAAGGUAUCCGAGUGGAUUUUGCAUCCGUGGCACACCCCCAAACAAACGGGCAAGCAGAGCGGGCGAAUGGACUUAUUCUUCAAGGGUUGAAGCCUCGAAUCCUGCAAGAAGUUGGACAUGCCGCCGGCGCAUGGGUCACCGAGUUGCCUUCGGUGCUGUGGGGCCUCCGCACAACUCCGAAUAGAUCUACAGGGCGAUCCCCGUUCUUCCUCGUUUAUGGAGCAGAGGCAGUCCUUCUGAGUGACUUGCUUCACAACUCUCCGCGAGUCGAACUCUUCUCCGAAGCCGAAGCAGAGCAAGCGAGGCAAGACGGAGUAGAUCUUCUAGAAGAAGAGCGCGAGAUGGCACUGACUCGCUCAACAAUUUAUCAACAAGAUCUGCGGCGAUUUCACGCGCGGCACGUCAGGAGUCGCACAUUCCAAGCAGGCGACCUGGUGCUCCGAGUGGAUCAGCAGAGACCACACAAGUUGGCUCCCGCCUGGAAAGGACCCUUCAUCAUCUCUAAGGUGCUGAACAACGGAGCAUAUCGACUCUACAACCUCGACAAGGAAACGGACGAGACUCGAGCAUGGAAUGGAGAUCUCCUGAAGCGCUUCUACACAUAACCGCCGACGGGGGCAAUGUAAAGAACAAGUAUCAUUGAAGUAAUACAAAGCAGAUUGAUUUCUUGCCAAUUCCAAAUUCUUUCGCGUUUGCAGACUCCGGUCUAAAAAAUUCACUCCGAGUGCGCACUAAAAGUCGCACUCGGGGACUUAGCUGCGACCCAGAGUCGCCUAAGUAAAAAGUCGCUCCAAGUGCGCACUAAAAGUCGCACUCGGGGACUUAGCUGCGACCCAGAGUCGCCUAAGUAAAAAGUCGCUCCAAGUGCGCACUAAAAGUCGCACUCGGGGACUUAGCUGCGACCCAGAGUCGCCUAAGUAAAAAACUCGCUCCGAGUGCGCACUAAAAGUCACACUCGGGGACUUAGUUGCGACCCAGAGUCGCCUAAGUACAAACUCGCUCCGAGUGUGCGCUAAAAGACACGCUCGGGGACUUAGCUGCGACUCAGAGUCACCUAAGUAAAAAGCUUCCUCCGAGUGUGUACUCGAGAUACACUCGAAGGUUUAGCAGACCCUCAUUGAGGCUCAUGUGGAUGUGAAGACAACUGACAACUACAUGAGUAACAACUCACUCUGAGUGUGCACGAAAAGUCACACUCGGGGACUUAGCUGCGAGUCAGAGUCGCCUAAGUAAAAAGCUUCCUCCGAGUGUGUACUCGAGAUACACUCGAAGGUUUAGCAGACCCUCAUUGAGGCUCAUGUGGAUGUGAAGACAACUGACAACCACAUGAGUAACAACUCGCUCCGAGUGCGCGCUUACAGUCACACUCGGGGACUUAGCCGCGACCCAGAGUCGCCUAAGUAACAACUCGCUCCGAGUGCGCCCUAAUAGUCGCACUGGGAGACUUAGCCGCGACCCAGAGUCGCCUAAGUAAAAGCUCACUUCGAGCGCGCACUCGGAGACUUGGCAGACCCUCAUUGAGGCUCAUGUGGAUGUGAAGACAACUGACAACUACAUGUUGCGCAUGUUUUCCAUUGGCUUCACCAAGAAACGCCAAACAAAAACCACGAGCCAAAAUCGUGUCAGAAAAAAAAACUUAGCGAAAGAGGAGCAAAAUAUCCGAUUCGAAUUCAAAGUUGGAUCGACGAUCAGUCGGCCCGGUGUGAAUCAAGCUUAUCCACACCGAACCACGAAUGUGACGGCCAAUAGCAGUGGCCAAAGUUUAAUACAGAUACCACUCGGCAUACCGAGGUAAAUGUGCGUUCACCAUAAAGUUUUUCAAGCGUCACCAGGACUGGCAGGCUCCACAAAGGUGUCAAGGUCGAUUCCGUCUGCAAUGCGAGUGGCUGUGUCGAGGAAGGUCUCCAUGAAGUCUUCAAAUCUAAGCUUCUUGGUGUUGGCGACCUGCAACGUCUUCGGUUUUUCUUCGCGAGCUUCCUUGCAGUGAACUCGGACCAGAGGUAGCGCCACGUACGCACCACAACAAGCGGCAGACUUCUUCCAUGCCUGCACUCUACUCGGGACGUCCUCCAGCCGAGUCAUCAACCCAUCUAUUUCUUGCCGGGAAUCGUCUUCAAGCCACAGCUCCUUGUCGAUCCGGCCGAUGACUUCUCUCAGCUGGCCAAUGAAAGGUCCCGCCCUGCUAAGGCGAAUAUGCGCUCGGAGCAAGUCCCGGUUGGCUUCGUCACCGAGUGGAACGUUCGGAACAACCGACCGUUCAAUGUCGGCUGCUUCAGCCUCAACGUCCCGACAGAAGUCUGCAAAGAAAAGACAAGCAGAAAAUAAGCGCAGAGUGAACUCCAAAGUCAAGAAGCACUUGACAACUACUUACCACCAAGCAGUGCAACCAUCUUCCUUGCCGAGUCGCUGACGUAAUUCUCCUGCACCAUGCACCGAGUAUUCAUCACCUUCAGCUGGCUCAUCCAUUCGGAUCUCUGACUCUUCAAUUUUUUAACUUCGGCUACCAAUGCCUUGUUGGUCUCCCGAGACUCCUCCAAAGACUUCUCUCGGUCAGCAAGAGCCUCCUUCACACCAGCUAGGUCAUUCACAACCGCCUCCAAGUCUGCAGCAAGCUGAAUCUUCUCAGCCUUCAGAGCAUUGUACGCAGAUCCCAUUUUCCAAGUCUUCUGCCAAAUAGGCACAAAGGGAGGAUCAGACACAUUCAACAAGGAAAAAGUAUCGACACAUAUGACAAAACAAUCAAAGUCCAAAAUUCUUCAGACCCCUGUCGAUGCAAGCAAUCGACAGCGGUCUCGGGGACUACACCCAGUGGGUUCACUAAGAGUGACCCCACUGAUAUGCAGCUCGAACAGGCCGGCCCUAUCGAGCUCCAUAGCGAACAAACAACACUAUGAGACUACUAUUACCUGACCUGAGUAACACUACUCUCGGGGACUACACCCAGUGGGUGCACUCGGAGUGCCCCCACUGGUACCACUCGGGCAGAUCAGCUCUGAUCUGUUUAGAUUACGGAAAAUACAUAUAAAGACAACUGCCGGUGCAAGCACUCGGCAGAAGUCUCGGGGACUACACCCACUGGGUUCACUCAGAGUGAACCCACUACAAAAUCAUCGUACUGUAUCCGAGUAUGUCGCUGAAACCCCCAGCGGGUAACAAGAGGAAAGUAAACACUUACUAGCGCACUUACUCGGAUAUCGUCCCGGAGUUCCAAGCUUUUCUUGUACAAAGACGUGAUGGAGUCAUACGCUCCCUUGGCGUCACCCACCAUCAGCUCCACCUGCACCAUGCCGUCCUUGGCGGCCCCCACCUGGUCUUCCGGGAGGCGUCGGGCAUCAUAUUGAACGGUUGACGGACCCGGCGCGACAGUACACUCCUUGGGCAUCCCGAGCUCUGCUCCAGUCGGUUCCGCCGUGAGGGACACCAUCUCAGUCGGCGACACGUUCAUGGUGGGAGCAGCAGUAGAUGGGACAACCUCAAGGACAGGCGCCAAAGCUGGCUCCGACCCCCUUUGGUCGUCAUCCUCCAGAUGGAUCACCUCCGAAGGAAGCCCGACUGAACAACAUGAAAUUACAGAAAAAGGGCAAGAUCAAAGACAACACUCGCGAAACAAUAGUAAAAACUCUCGGAGUCGUGACAAUGUACUUUGCUGGGACGUGGCGGCAUUAUCUCGUCCAUGGGAUCAUCGUCCUGGCGCGACAGAGAGGUGGCGGAGGUAGCAACUCUGUUGAGUGAAAUCCACUCGACAGAUAAGCAUGAGUUCAAUCAGAUACUGAAGGAAGAUGGAAGAACAAGACACUUACGCUGAGGCGACUAGAACAACAAUCCUCAUCCGAGGCAAAGCUUUCCGAGGCUUAGGCCCGCUAGGUUUGGCCACCUUGGACGACUGGUCCGUGGGCUCGGCAGCAGUGUCCCUGGUCCUCUUCACACUUCGAGCACUCGGAGCCACGGGAGGAGCUGGCGGAGCACUCGGGGCCGCUGGAGGAGCCGGUGGAGCAGCGGGAUCAUGACGGCGCUUAGUUCGGUGCUCUGGUGGUGAAGGUGGCGAGCUCUGCUCCCCCCUCCUCCUCCUCCUCCUCUUCCGUCUCCUCCUCCAUCUCCCCACUGUCGGAGACGUACUCGCCGCUAUCCAUGCUGCCCUCCUGGCUGCCCUCCUCUUCCUCGGCCGGAUUCCCAUUCGAGACAGCAGAAUACCAGUUGGUCCACUCCUACACAAAACACAGUCGGCAACGUCAGCCAGCAGGACAAGAAAAGCAAUAAGUCUAAGAAGAUUAAAAGCACUCGACAAGAUGCGCUUACCUCAUUCGGAGGAGUAUUGUCGGCGCGGAAGGGCUUCACCCGCCGGGCUCCUUCGGGGUUAUCACACGCGCCUGUGAUGCCGCGGACCCACGCCCUCACAGUCUCCCCAGUCACGCACUCUGGAUGAGACCGAGUGGAGUCCGAAGGCCCCGCAUAGUGCCACAUGGCGUGGUGUCGGGCCUGCGGCGGCUGGAUGCGCCGACCCAGAAAAGUCUCCAGCAGGUCCGUGCCGGUGACUCCCUUGCGGACGACGGCUAUCAGCGCGUCGACCAAAGGCUGGAUCUGGAUCCUUUCCCCCUUAGAGAGCGCAGGCUUCCUGGGAGGGCCCGAACGGUCUAGGCUAAAAGGUGGCAGCCCGCUCGAGGCAUUCGGACAAGCAAUGUCCUGGCAAUGGAACCAGGUCGAUUGCCAGUUCCUAACUGACUCAGACAACUGGAGGGGGGGGGUAGCUACUCUUUGUUUUCUUCUGGAAACCUAAACCCCCGCAGAGCUGGAGGAGAUGGGUCUUAUCGUCCGACUGGCUAAGCUUUUUGACGGUUUGGGAUCUAGCGGAGAAGACGUACUUAAAGAGCCCCCGGUGAGGGGGACAUCCAAUAAAGCACUCACAAAGGGUGACGAAUGCAGCAAGGUGGGCUAUUGCGUUUGGAGGAAAAUGAUGGAGCUGCGCCCCGAAGUAGGUCAUGAUACCUCGGAAGAAGGGGUGGGGAGGCAAGGAAAAGCCCCUGAACACGUGGCUGAGCAGCAGGACGCGCUCCCCCUCUUUCGGCGCCGGCUCCGUCUCGCCUUCCGGCAGCCUCUACGACUUGUUGACGAUCAUGCCGUGCUCCACCAGCUCUAGCAAGUCGUCCUCCGUCACCGAGGAGGGGAGGAAAUCCCCCUGGAUCCAACCCGCCGACAGCGCCCGCUGCCGCCACUGAGUAGGGGCUGCCCCCUUCUUCUUCUUCUUCUGCGACUCAAGUUUGCUGGUCUGCCCCUUCGUCAUGGUGAAGGCGACGGAUCCGCAGAGGAGGAGGGGAAGGAGGAGGCUUGAGGCAUGCAGAGAGCUGCGGGAGGAGCGGGAUUAAUGCGAGGAAGAUGAGCAGCGCAACAAGAAAUCCCGCCGGAGAGGCUUAAAUAAGCUUCCGACUGGGUCACUAAUAGGUGGACCCGAAAUCUUAUCUCCCCAACCGGCUGCUGCGAUGUUAGUGGAGAAGAUAAAGGUGCGGUAAUCGAGGUGGCAAAACCUACUCGAUGGCGAUGUCAUCAUCCCCGCUGAGCGCGCGGCAACCGAAAUUUGAGGAUCCCGGAAAAUCCGGCGCUCUCAGUUUGACCAGUCACAUCGAAAGAUUCCGCGGAAGCACUCGGUCUCUGACGGUUUGUUUCACUGAUAUAUUCACUUGGAUCACUGGUUGAAAGGAUAAAAUGGAUCGAGGCAAACAACGCCAAAUUCACCUUCAUACCAGUCGGAUCCAUACUCUAGACAUCACUUCAUCGUUCCAACCCCGAUCCAUUCGGGGACUAAUGAUGGGGUUAUAGCCCCAGGGUAGGGUCAUAGGCCUGCCCUAUAGGUCCUACCCAAGGACUACCCUUCACAGAGGACAAGAGCCUUAAACGGUUCCGACUGAACUAAGGACUCCCCCACCAUCCAGUCGGCGACUAGCACUCGGAGUAUAUUUAACGUACCGACUGGAAUCCACUCUCUACAUCGUAACCUCCCAGGAGGGCAACGGUCAUACGUUUCCAUACACCAUUAUUAGCAUUUAAGGCUUACAUUGCCUGUAACGUGGGCAUUUACUCGCCAUUAUUCCACCCCUGUCCACCGGGCCAUUAUGAAGGGCAGCGCACUCUAUAUAAGCCGCCCUUCCCCACUGGUGCAGGGGUUGGCUUUUACUGUAACCCUAUAUUCCACUCGACACUAAGCUCCCAAGAGCACUGAGACGUAGGGCUUUUACCUCCACCGUAGAGGGGCCUGAACUCAUACAUCCUCCCCGUAGCUAAGGCUCUGCCCAUCCUUUCGUACCCCAUACAUCUACUGUCAGACUUAUACCCACGACAAGCACUAUAGAUGGUGUGGAAUGUGGUGGAGGUUGCAAGACAAAAAGGAGAAGAUAGUCACAUUAACUAGGCAUAUCAAUGAGGUGUGGAGAUGCUCAUCAAUAGAUAUCAAUGUGAAUGAGUAGGGAUUGCCAUACAAAUGAUGCACUAGAGCUACAAGUAUGUGAAAGCUCUUAAAGAAAACUAGUGGGUGUGCAUCCAACUUGCUUGCUCACGAAGACCUAAGGCAAUUUUGAGGAAGCCUAUCAUUGGAAUAUACAAGCCAAGUUAUAUAAUGAGAAUUUCCCACUAGCUAUAUGGUGGUGACAAAACGAGAGACUCUCAAUCAGGAAGAUCAUGGUGCUCAAUAUGCACAAGUGUGGAAAAAGUGGUAGCAUUGUCCCUUCUCUCUUUUUCUCUUUUUUUUGGUGGGCUCUUUGGCCUCUUUUAUUUCCUCACAUGGGACAAUGCUCCAAUAAUGAUGAUCAUCACACUUUCAACUCAAAACUUAGAGCAAUUAUGACUCUAUAUGGAAUGCCUUCGGUAGUGUACCAUGGCAAUGAUCUAGCAUGACAUAGAUAUCAAUGGAAACAUCAUGCUAGCUAUCUUAGGAUCAUGCAAAGGCAAUGUAGACUUGGUGGCACAUAACAUGGUGGUAGUUGCAUGGCAAUAUAUCUCGGAAUGACUUUGAAAAAGCCAUAGUAGGUAGGUAUGGUGGUUGUUUUGAGGGAGGAUAAUUGUGGGUUUUGUGCACCGGCGAAAGUUGCGCGGCACUAAGAAGAUAGUGAUGGUGGAAGGUGAAAGUGCAUCUAAACCAUGGACUCAUCAUUAGUCAUGAAGAACUCAUAUACUUGUUGCAAAAGUUUUAUUAGUAAUCGAAACAAAGCAUUCAACGCAUACUCCUAGGAGAAGGAUUGGUAGGUAUAAACCAUCGCGCGAUCCCGACCGCCACGCAAAGGAUGACCAUCAAUAUACUAAUCAUGCUCAGAUUUCAUCACAUAUCGGUUCACCAUAUGUGCAUGCUACGGGAAUCACUAACUUCAACACAAGUAUUUCUAGAUCCACAACACCUUACUAGCAUGACUUCAAUAUUACCAAAACCACAACUCAAAACUAAUUGAGAUGAAUCAAACUUCUCUAACUAUUCAAUGCACAUGAAGGUGGAAGUUUUCGUAUCCCUUUGGAUAACUACCCCUUUUGAGACUACUUUAAAAGCAUAGAUCAACUACAAAUCCACGCACCGCUGCGCUCUAAAAGAUAUAAGUGAAGCACAUAGAGCAAAAGUAUCUAGCUCAAAAGAUAUAAGUGAAGCACAUGUGAGCUGAAUUGUCUACCAAAAGAUAUAAGUGAAGCUCGACAAAAUCACGGUGAGUGCAUGUCUCUCUCUCUAGGUGUGCAGCAAGGAUGAUUGUGACACAACAAAAUAAAAGACUCCUACGAUACAAGGCGCUCCAAGCAAAAACACAUAACAUAUGGUGAAUAAAAAUAUAGCCCCAAGUAACGUUACCGAUAGAUUGAAGACGAGAGAGGGGAUGCCUUCCCGGGGCAUCCCCAAGCUUAGGCUUUUACGGCAUCCUUGAAUAUCUUGGGGUGCCUUGGUCAUCCCCAAGCUUGAGCUCUUGCCACUCUUUAUCUUUUUGUCCAUUAGAACUUCACCCAAGACUUGAAAACUUCACAACACGAAACUUAAACAGAAACUCGUGAUAACAUUAGUACAAGAAAGCAAACCACCACUUCCUUAGGUACUGUAGCAAACUUAAAUUCUACUUUGCUGAUGUUGGGUUACUGUACUUUCAAUCUUCCAUGGCUAAUACCCCCCGAUACUAUCCAUAGUUUCAUCAAAAUAAGCAACCAACACAACAAAAACAGAAUCUGUUAACAGCAGACCAGUCUGUAGCAAUCUGUAUGUUUCGUAUACCUCUGUACUUCAAAAAUUCUGAAAAAUUACGACAGUCUGAAGAAUUUGCGUAGAAAUCAGCACCAAAAAGAAUCAACUCAAAAGCUCUUACAGAAAAAAUGAAAAUUCUUUUCGUGAGGAGAUAGUUUUUGUCUUUCCCAGCAUGACCAAACGAUCACCCUCAAGACUAAUCAUAACGGUUUUGCUUGGCACAAACGCAAAAAGAAACACAAAAAACACAAUCAUAACAGAAUUAUGAAAGUGUGGAAAACAGAAAAUAGAAAGAAAAAGGAUAAAUUCAUUGGGUUGCCUCCCAACAAGCGCUUUUGUUUAACGCCCUUAGCUAGGCGAAAGUGAUGGAAUCACGUAUAGUCAUCUUUGGUGCUCAAACCAUAGGUAGCAUGAUCAUUUAUCAUCUUAAGAUUUUCAUUUUUAUUAGAUGACUCACCACUAGCUCUAGGAACAAAAACAGGCUUGACGGUCUUUUUGAGAGUAAGAUUUGGAGUAUUUUGCACAGCGGCAAAAGCGGAACCCAAGUAGGUUAUGACAUCUUCUAAUUUGCCAAUUCUAGAAGAAUCAUUAACUAUAAGUUCCUUCUUCUUUAAAUUUUUCAAAAAGUUUCCCACUUUGGAUCCGUACUAAGUAAUUUGAUCGUGGAUCUUUCUAUCCAAACCCUCAAUAAGUUCAACUGUGGCAAUUUUGUUUUCAAUAGCGUCAAGCCUUUGCAUCACAUGUUCCAAGGUCAAGAUAGUUCCAUUAACCAUGAGCGGGGGUGAGCCUACCAAAUUAAUGAUAGCUCUAUAGGAGUCAACAGUAUGGCUCCCCAAAAAGUUCCCGCCUACAAUGGUAUCAAGGAUGUAUCUAUUCCAAGGAGAAAUUCCAACAUAGAAACAGCGAAGGAGGACGGUAGUGGAUUGCUUACGAGUAGAUCUACUUUGAGCAUUGCAAAUCCUGUACCAAGGGUCCUUCAAAUUUUCUUCCUCAUGCUGCCUGAAAUUGAGAACUUCAUUUUCAGGGGUGUCGUUUGGAGCGGUGGGUCUAGCCAUUGCUGGACUAUCUCACGCACAAACGAGCGGGAAGAGAGAAUGAAACGGGCAAAAGAAAACAGCAAAAAGGCAAAAGAAAACGGCGAAGGAGAAAGGCGGAUGAAAACGACAAAUGUGAAGUGGGGGAGAGGAAAACGAGAGGCAACUGGCAACAAAAGUAAAUGCAAGAGAAGAGUUUGUGAGACAUACUUGGAUAGAUCUUGAUUUCUCCUCCCCGGCAACGGCGCCAGAAAUACUUCUGAUGGCUGCUGUGUAUCCCUUGCAACGGCGCCAGAAAUAGUUGCGUCGACGGCACCAGGAAUCCUUCAACUGCGGCUACGCCUUAAGGGACUUUCUAGGAAAGUAUGCAAAGGAUUUCCCCCGUGGCCUUGGAACCCUGCGUUGGUGUUCCCUCGAAGCGGAAAGGGUGAUGUAGCACAGCGACAGUAAGUAUUUCCCUCAGUUUGAGAACGAAGGUAUCAAUCCGACGGAAGAGUAUCUCAAGAUCCUGCACAAACACAAAAGCUUGCACCCAACGCUAUGAAGGGGUUGUCAAUCCCUUAUAGAUUGUUUGCCAAAUGAGAACUGAAAGCAACAAAGUAACAAAGCAAAGUAAAAGCGGAGUUUUAAACGAUGGAUGUGAAUAGACCCGGGGGCCGUAGUGUUUACUAGUGGCUUCUCUCAUGAAAGCAAGUAGACGGUGGGUGAAACAUUUACUGUCGAGGAAUUGAUAGAACUGUGUUGAGUCAUGACGAUAUCUAUGCAAUGAUUAUUUCUAUAGGCAUCACGUCCGAAACAAGUAGACCAAUACUUUCUGCAUGUACUACUAUUACUCCACACGUCGACCGCUAUCCAGCAUGCAUCUAGUGUAUUAAGUCCAUAAGAACAGAGUAACGCCUUAAGCAAGAUGACAUGAUGUAGAGGGAUAAUCUCAAACCAAUGAUAAAAACCCCAUCUUUUUACCCUUGAUGGCAACUGCUUGAUGUGUGCCUUGCUGCCCCUACUGUCACUGGGAAAGGUCACCACAUGACAGAACCCAAAACCAAACACUUCUCCCAUUGCAAGAAUCGUAGAUCUAGUUGGCCAAACAAAACCCAAGACUCGGAGAGACUUACAAGGAUAUCAACUCAUGCAUAUAAGAAAUCAGCAGAGGCUCAAAUAUAUAUCAUAGAUAAUCUGAUCACAAGUCCACAAUUCAUCGGAUCUCGACAAACACACCGCCAAAGAAGAUUACAUCGGAUAGAUCCCCAUGAAGAUCAUGGAGAACUUUGUAUUGAAGAUCCAAGAGAGAGAAGAAGACAUCUAGCUACUAACUACGGACCCGUAGGUCUGAAGUGAACUACUCACGAGUCAUUGGAGGGGCGAUGAUGAUGAUGAAGAAGCCCUCCAGCUCCAAAGUCCCCUCCGGCAGGGUGCCGGGAAGGGUCUCCAGAUGAGAUCUCGUGGAAAAGGAAGCUUGCGGCGGCGGAAAAGUAUUUUCGAGGCUCCCCGAUUUUUUGCGGAAUAUUUGGGAAUUUAUAGGCCAAACAGAGAGAGAAGAAGCCAUCUAGCUACUAACUACGGACCUGUAGGUCUGAAGUGAACUACUCACGAGUCAUUGGAGGGGCGAUGAUGAUGAUGAAGAAGCCCUCCAGCUCCAAAGUCCCCUCCGGCAGGGUGCCGGGAAGGGUCUCCAGAUGAGAUCUCGUGGAAAACGUUUGAGACGUAUCAUUAGGCAGACAACCCGAUUUACUUUCGGAUAGGAGAGAAAAAGGAAAAAUGCCAUCCAACCGGACCCCUCACUAUGUCCUCAUAUGUCUAGGCUAUUUGCAAAUCCCCAUACCAAGCCCAUAUAUGGAGUGGAUAUGGGGAUGUCCGGGCGGUUCUCGAUGUAGGAUAUGGCCCACAGGGACUAUAUUUUUCUUUUAUCUUUCCUUUCUCUCUUUCUUUAUAUCCACCAAUGACAUGCAUAUAUCUGACCGGACAAUUUAAGGACAAAAUAGAAGACAUGGUGACAUGCAUCCACAAAUGGGGGGUUUGAAAUAAACAUGUCUAGAUGCUGAUGUGACAUGUCCUCGGACGUUUGAGGAGUUUUGCCCAUUGUGGUUGUAGAUACCUCGAGUCACAUGUGGCAGCCCACGUGUGGUGUUGUAUGAUCUUUCCUCAAUGCUUGUGUGCUGGUUGUUUAGGGUACUCUAGAAUCAAUGGUGAAUCUUGAAAAAAAAAGGCUGGACUUACAGUUUACACCGAGAAAACUAUACACUUACUUGAAGGAAAAAUCGGCUAUCUCCUAAUCAUUUUGUGCAGAUAAAUAAAUUUUCCCACGUUACUAUUGGAAAUAUGUAGUAUUUACUAGAUUAUCUUUGGAUUUAUUUGAAAACAUCUUUUGAAAAAAACACUAAAUAUGUUGAGCGAGAUAGCCAUUAUACCCAAAUUCAUUUGUUCAAAUAAGCUCAAAUUUUUCCAGAUAACUAAUAGAAACACGUACUAUUUACUAGAAAUUUUUCGUAUUUUUUGAAAAUAUUAAAUAUUGGAAAAAAAUUGAAUCUGUUCACUCUAACAUCCAUUAUCUCCAAAUCCAUUCGUCCAAAUAAGCUAUAGUUUUUCUAGAUUUAAACUAGAAACAUGGACUAUUUACUAGUAUAUUUCUGGAUUUUCUGAAAAUAUCAAAUUUUGAACAAAAAAAAGAAUCCAUUCACUAUAAUAGCCAUUAUCUCCAAAUUGUUUCGUCCAAAUAAGCUCAAUCUUUCCCAAAUAAGGCCAACACUAGUAGCAUGAUUGACCAGACAACAAAGUUUCAUACAAUCCGCACACCAAUACAUCAAGUAACAGAGAAGCAACGAGAAAAAGACAAAGACAAUGAUAAUGGUAUUGCUUCUGAGUUCUUACUGAUGGUGUUGUAGUUGUAGUCUUGUAGAAUACCUCCACACCAAAGUGCAAGUGACAAAUUACAAGCCAUACCGAGGAGGUAAAUGUCCUUUGUGAUUUCUCUUUUUCUGGAAUCAUAUCAUAAUUUGAUCAUCCGGGAUACUUUUGAAUAUCAUUUUCUCUUAGUACAUACCAUUAAUUCAUUGAGCCAAUUAUUUGAUAUCUUAUUGCACAAAUCUGUUUUGGUGAUCUUCAUUGCUGAAAAUAUUCGCUUAGUCGAUGAAGUUGCCACUGGAAGAAUCACUGUCAACUCGAUGAGGCGAUAUACUAAUUGGAAAGUUCCAUGUUUUGUUGUUUGAACCAUCAACCAAGCAAGGGUAGAAACAUCCGUACAUCCAUUAAAUUCCAUGCUUCUCCUAACAUUUGUAAGGAAAGCUGGAAGCUCAAAUCUUAGCAACAACCGUUCAGCUUGUGUAAAAUCCUCAACAUAAAUCUAGGCGCACUACAGAGAGACAGAAUAAAACUACCCACAUCAGUCGGUCGAGCCUUCUGUUGGAUGGCAGCGGAGCCGCGAAAGUCGAGCGACGGGCGAUUGCGAUCCAGACGCUGCAGAGGGCCCUGCUGCCCUGGCCGACUAUGCCGACGAGCUGCCCAGCAACAACAGCUCAGCUCCCACAGUGGCAGACUUCCUCGGUUGAUGACAACACCUGACACUCCGAUAGAGAAUCAACGGGGAAGUGGGGAGGCGGCAUCCGACCACUAGAGGAGAAAUGGCUAGCGACAACUUACGUUGGGGGCGCGCCGUUUCUGGCAAAUGUCAGCACUAAUAAUUUCAAAUAGUGUUGGUUGGUGUCUACUACACAACUUUAUUCUUCUAGACUCGUAUUGGGCCUCCAAGCACAGAGUUUUGUAGGACAGCACCAAUAUUCCUCAAGUGUUUGACCUAAGGUUUAUCAAUCUGUGGGAGGCGUAGGAUGACGAUGGUCUCUCUUUGGAACAACCGUGCAACCAAAUAAUAUAAAGUAUCUUGUGUCCCCAACACACCAAAUACAACGGUAAAUUGUAUAGGUGCACUAGUUCGGCGAAGAGGUAGUGAUACAAGUAUAGUAAUGAUAAUAGAUAUUGAUUUUUGUAAUAGGAACAAUAACAACAAGGUAGCAAGUAACAAAAGUGAGCACAAACGGUAUUGCAAUGCUUGAAAAAUGAGACCUAGAGUCGUACUUUUGCUAGUGCAAUCUCUCAACAAUUCUACUCUCUCCAUUUUUACAUACAAGGCCACUAUAAAAAUUAAAAUUUAUAGAAAUAAAAGGCCACUAACACCAAUUGAUGCAAUAUUAAUGGUGUUUGCCUUGUAGUACUAACAAAGGAGGACAUUAAUUAUUCCUUGCAUGCAUGCGGGAGUGAGAUCACUGGCUUGGUGUGCAUGAAAGAGAAAUAUACACAUUAAUUUACACGAUCAAUAAGGAGACAAACUGUCUUGGAACAUUGACUUGGAAGACAUUAACUUUUGCCUUGGUACGUGUAAUAUGAGUUUGUGGCCUUGUAUAAAAAAUGGAGGGAGUAAUAUAAUUGGAUCACAUAACUAUCCAUCAACGUGCAAUAAAGAAUCACUCCAAAGUUCCUAUCUAGUGGAAAACAUAAGAAGAAAUUGUUAGUAGGGUACAAAACCAUGUUAAAGUUAUUGUUUCUUGUCAAUCUUUUCAAGAAUUCAUACUAACAUAACAAGUUAUCUUUUCCGAUUGAUCUAUCCAAGAGUUCAUACUAAAAUUACACCAUAACAAAUUCAGAUUCAUAAUACUCAAUCCAACAGAAAGAAACCUCAAAGAGUGCUCCAAGAUUUCUACCUGAGAAACAAAGAUGAGAAUGUGCAUCAAUCCCUAUACAUAGAUUACCCCAAUGUCAUCUCGGGAAGCCCCGAUUGAGUGCCAAAACAUAUAUGAAGUGAAUCAAUAUGAUACCCCAUUGUCCCCAUGAUUAUUCAUAGCAAGACAUAAAUCAAGUGCUCUCAAAACCAUCAAAGUAUUCAAUCCAAUAAAAUGAAAUCUCAAAGGGAAAACUCAAUUCAUCACAACAAGAUAGAGAGGGAGAAACACCAUAUGAUCCAAGUAUAUUAACAAAGCCCGCGAUAUAUCAAGAUCAUGCCAUCUCGAGGACAUGAGAGAGAGAGAGAGAGAGAUUAGACACAUAGAUACUAGUACAAACCCUCAGCCCCGAGGGUGGACUACUCCCUCCUCGUCAUGGCCUCCGCCGGGAUGAUGAAGAUGGCCACCGGAGAUGAUCUCCCCCUCCGGCAGGGUGCCGGUACAGUCUCUCGAUUGGUUUUUGUGGCUACAGAGGCUUGCGGCGAUGGAACUCCCGGUCUCGGUUUCUUUUUGGGGGUUUCUAUAUUUAUAGGAAUUUAUGGCGGUGGAAUUACGUCAGUUGGGCCCACGAGGAGGUCACGAGCCUGCUAGGCCCUCCCGGGCACUACUAGGAAAAGGGCUAUAGAUAAUAUAGACACUAAUGGCGCACCAGACAAGUGGUGCGCCACUACUAUAUAGCAGGGGCGUACCAUGUGCAGGUGCGCCUUUAGUGUGAUAGACACUAACGGCGGACCACACACACGGUGCGCCACUACUAACAAACUUUUUUCCCCAAAAAUACUAAUGACGCACCGGGGCAGAGUGCGCCAUUACUAGUUUAACUAGUAAUCGCGCACCACUCACCGAGUGCGCCACUACUAUAGUUUAACUACUAAUCAGAAGUAUUCCUCGUUUUUCCCCUUGGGCGGCCUGUCAGGAGAGCUGAAACCGACGACGACGCUACCACUCUCCUUCCUUCCCUUCCUUCACCGCGUCUCCUACCAGACAAAAUCCCAUCCGGAAUCUACAUCUCCCCCUCCGAUCCUCUUUCUCCCCCCUUCCCCGCUGCCUCCACCGGCGAGAAUCGCCGGCGCGCCCGUCGCAACGACCCAGGAGCCCUCCGUCACGGGCGGGCCUCUCCCCGGAACCACCGGAGGGAGGGGACGGGCAACCAGUCUCGUCCAGAGCCGGUAAGUGCUACUGCGACAACAGACCUUCCCUGGCAACGGCGCCAGGAAUCCUGCUGCUACGCCUACGCCUAUAGGGACUUCCUUGGCAAAUAUGCAAAGGAUUUCCCCGCGGCCUUGGAGCCUUGCGUUGGUGUUCCCUUGAAGAGGAAAGGAUGAUGUAGCACAACGGCGGUAAGGAUUUCUCUCAGUUUGAGAACCAAGGUAUCAAUCCAGUAGGAGGAGCGUUCAAGUCACAAGUACCUGCACAAACACAAAGAGCUUGGACCCAACGCUAUGAAGGGGUUGUCAAUCCCUUAUAGAUUGUUUGCAAAGUGAGAACUGAAAGCAAAAAGUAAACAAAGCAAAGUAAAAGUGAAAAUGGAAACGAUAGUUGUGAAUAGACAUGGGGGUCGUAGUGUUCACUAGUGGCUUCUCUCAUGAAAGCAAGUAGACGGUGGGUGAACGAAUUACUCUCGAGCAAUUGAUAGAACCGCGCAAAGUCAUGACGUUAUCUAUGGCAAUGAUUAUAUCUAUAGGCAUCACGUCCAAAACAAGUAGACCGAUACUUUUUUGCAUCUACUACUAUUACUCCACACGUCGACCGCUAUCCAGCAUGCAUCUAGCGUAUUAAGUUCAAAAGAACAGAGUAACGCCUUAAGCAAGAUGACAUGAUGUAGAUGAACAAUCUCAAAUCUAUGAUGAAAGCCAAUCUUGUUACCCUUGAUGGCAACAACACGAUGCGUGCCUUGCUGCCCCUUCUGUCACUCGCAAAGGUCACCACGCGGUAUGAACCCCGAUGCGUGCCUUGCUGCCCCUUCUGUCACUCGCAAAGGUCACCACGCGGUAUGAACCCAAAACCAAGCAAUUCUCCCAUUGCAAGAAUCAUAGAUCUAGUUGGCCAAACAAAACCCAAGACUCAGAGAGACUUACAAGGAUAUCAAAUAGUGCAUAUACGAAAUCAGCAAAGACUCAAAUAUAAUUCAUAGAUAAUCUGAUCACAAAUCCACAAUUCAUCGGAUCUCGACAAACACACCGCCAAAGAGGAUUACAUCGGAUAGAUCCCCAUGAAGAUCAUGGAGAACUUUGUAUUGAAGAUCCAAGAGAGAGAAGAAGACAUCUAGCUACUAACUACGGACCCGUAGGUCUGAAGUGGACUAGUCACGAGUCAUUGGAGAGGCGAUGAUGUUGAUGUAAAAGCCCUCCAACUCCAAAGUGAUAGGGCACCGGGAAGGGUCUCCAGAUGACAUCUCGCGGAAACGGAAGCUUGCGGCGGCGGAAAAGUGUUUUCGUGGAUGCCCUGAUUUUUUCUGCGAUUUAAGGGAAUUUAUAGGCCAAAGAGCUAGGGUAGGGGAGCUCCAGGGAGGCCACAAGCCUGGUUGCCGCGGGCCCCCUAGCCGCGGCAACAGGGCUUGUGGGCUCCCUGUGGGCCCCCUGCCUUGGCCCUCACGUCCCCCGAUCUUCUUCUGUUCUGGAAAAAAAUAUUUUGGGGAUUUUAUUCCGUUUGGACUACGUUCCAAAAUCAGAUCUGAAAAGAGUAAAAAACACAGAAAAAACACGAACUGGCACUUAGCACUGAAUUAAUAAGUUAGUCCCAAAAAAGAUGUAAAAGGUAUAUAAAACAUCCAAAGUUGACAAGAUGACAGCGUGAAACCAUCAAAAAUUAUAGAUACAUUUGAGACGUAUCAAGCAUCCCCAAGCUUAACUCAUGCUCGUCCUCGAGUAGGGAAGUGAUAAAGAAUAAACUUUUCAUGCUUUCAUGCUACCUAGCAUAGAUGUCCUUUGUAACUCCUCUUAUGUGACAUGAAUGUUCAGAUCCAUUAGAUUCAAAACAAUAGUUUGCUAUUGACGCAGAGACAAUAAUACUUCAAGCAAACUAGCAAGGUAAUCAUGAACUUUCAAAAUAACAAGGCCAAAAGAAGGUUAUCCCUACAAAAUCAUAUAGUCUGGCUAUGCUCUAUCAUCCUUGCACAACGAAUCUAGAUCAUGCACAACCCCGGUAUUGGCCAAGUAAUUGUUUUCACACCUUUACUUUCUCAAACCUUUUCAACUCUCACGCAAUACAUGAGCGUGAGCCAUGGUUUUAGCACUAUAAGUGGUGUGGAGUGUGGUGGAGGUUGCAAGACAAACAAGGAGAAGAUGGUCACAUUGACUAGGCAUAUCAAUAAGCUAUGGAGAUGCUCAUCAAUAGAUAUCAACGUGAAUGAGUAGGGAUUGCCAUACAAUUGAUGCACUAGAGCUAAGAGUAUGUGAAAGCUCUUAAAGAAAACUAGUGGGUGUGCAUCCAACUUGCUUGCUCACGAAGACCAAAGGCAAUUUUGAGGAAACCUAUCAUUGGAAUAUACAAGCCAAGUUAUAUAAUGAAAAUUUCCCGCUAGCUAUAUGCUGGUGACAAAACGAGAGACUCUCAAUCAUGAAGAUCAUGGUACUUAAUAUGCACAAGUGUGGAAAGGUGGUAGCAUUAUCCAUUCUCUCUUUUUCUCUCAUUUUUUGGUGGGCUCUUUGGCCUCUUUUUUUGGUGGGCAUCUUUGGCCUCUUUUAUUUCCUCACAUGGGACAAUGCUCCAUCAAUGAUGAUCAUCACACUUACAACUCAAAACUUAGAGCAAUGAUGACUCUAUAUAGAAUGCCUUCGGUAGUGUACCGUGACAAUGAUCUAGCAUGGUAUAGACAUCAAUGGGAACAUCAUGGUAGCUAUCUUAUGAUCAUGCAAUGGCAAUGUAGAAGUGGUGGCACAUGUCAUGGUCGUAGUUGCAUGGCAAUAUAACUCAGAAUGGCUUUGAAAAAACCAUAGUAGGUAGGUAUGGUGGCUGUUUUGAGGGAGGCUAAUGGUGGGUUUUGUGCACCGGCGAAAGUUGCACGGCACUAAAGAAGAUAGUGAUGGUGGAAGGUGAAAGUGCAUCUAAACCAUGGACUCAGCAUUAGUCAUGAAGAACUCAUAUACUUGUUGCAAAAAAUUUAGUAGUAAUCGAAACAAAGCAUUCAGUGCAUACUCCUAGGGGAAGGUCUGGUAGGUAAAAACCAUCGCGCGAUCCCGACCGCCACACAAAGGAUGACAAUCAAUAUACUAAUCAUGCUCAGACUUCAUCACAUAGCGGUUCACCAUACAUGCAUGCUACGGGAAUCACUAAAUUCAACACAAGUAUUUCUAGAUCCACAAUACCUUACUAAUAUAACUUCAGUAUUACCACAACCACAACUCAAAACUAAUUGAGAUGAAUCAAACUUCUCUAACUAUUUAAUGCAACUGAAGGUGGAAGUUUUCAUAUCCCUUUGGAUAACUACCCCUUUUGAGACUACUAUCAUAGCAUAGAUCAACUACCAAGCCACGCGCUUCCGUGCUCUAAAAGAUAUAAGUGAAGCACAUGUGAGCUGAAUUGUCUAACCAAAGGAUAUAAGUGAAGCUCGACAAAAUCAUGGUGAGUGCAUGUCUAUCUCUCUAGGUGUGCAGCAAGGAAGAUUGUGACACAACAAAAAUAAAAGACUCCUAUGAUACAAGACGCUCCAAGCAAAACACAUAACAUGUGGUGAAUAAAAAUAUUGCCCCAAGUAACAUUACCGAUGGAUUGAAGACGAAAGAGGGGAUGCCUUCCCGGGGCAUCCCCAAGCUUAGGCUUUUACGACAUCCUUGAAUCAACUUGGGGUGCCUUGGGCAUCCCCAAGCUUGAGCCCUUGCCACUCUUUAUCUUUUUGUCCAUAAGAACUUCACCCAAAACAUGAAAACUUCACAACACGAAACUUAAACAGAAACUCGUGAUAACAUUAGUAUAAGAAAGCAAACCACCACUUCCUUAGGUACUGUAGCAAACUUAAAUAAUACUUAUGUUGAUGUUGGGUUACUUUAUUCGUAUACUUCUGGUUCUUCAAAAAUUCUGAAAAAUUACGAAAGUCUGAAGAAUUUGCGUAGCAAUCAGCAUAAAAAAGAAUCAACUCAAAAGCCCAUACAGAAAAAAAUGAAAAUUCUUUUAGUGAGCAGAAAGUUUUUGUCUUUUCCAGCAUGACCAAACGAUCAUCCCCAAGACUAAUCAUAACGGUUUUGCUUGGCACAAACACAAAAAGAAACACAAAAAACACAAUCAUAACAGAAUUAUGAAAGUGUGGAAAACACAAAAGAGAAAGAAAAAGGAUAGAUUCGUUGGGUUGCCUCCCGACAAGCGCUAUUGUUUAACGCCCUUAGCUAGGCAAAAGGUGAUGGAAUCACGUAUAGUCAUCUUUGGUGCUCAAACCAUAAGUAGCGUGAUCAUUUAUCAUCUUAAGAUUUUCGUCUUUAUUGGAUGACUCACCACUAGCUUUCGGAACAAAAACAGACUUGACGGUCUUUUUGAGAGUGAGAUUCGGAGUAUUUUGCACAGCGGAAAAAGAGAAACCCAAGUUGGUUAUGCCAUCUUCUAGUUUGCCAAUUCUAGAGGAAUCAUUAACUAUAGGUUCCUCUCCCUUAAAUUUUUCAAAACCAUUCCCACUUUGGAUCCGUACUAAGUAAUUUGAUUGUGGAUCUUUCUAUCCAAACCCUCAAUAAGUUCAAUUGUGGCAAUUUUGUUUUCAAUAGCGACAAGCCUUUGCAUCACGUGUUCCAAGGUCAAGGUAGUUUCAUUAACCAUGAGCGGGGGUGAGCCUACCAAAUUUAUGAUAGCUCCAUAGGAGUCAACAGUAUGGCUCCCCAAAAAAUUCCCGCCUACGAUGGUAUCAAGAAUAUACCUAUUCCAAGGAGAGAUUCCAACAUAAAAACUGCAAAGAAGAACGGUAGUGGAUUGCUUACGAGUAGAUCUACUUUGAGCAUUGCAAAUCCUGUACCAAGCGUCCUUUAAAUUUUCUUCCUCAUUCUGCUUGAAAUUGAGAACUUCGUUCUCAGCGGUAUCGUUUGGAGUGGUGGGUCUAGCCAUUGAUGGACUAUCCCACACACAAACGAGCAGGAAGUAAGCGAGCGAAACGGGCAAAAGAGAACUACAAAAAGGCAAAAGAAAACAACAAAGGAGAAAGGCAAAAUGGCAAAUGAAAAUGGCAAGGGAGAAAGGAAAAUGAAAACGGCAAAUGUGAAGUGGGGGAGAGGAAAACGAGAGGCAACUCGCAAAAAAGGUAAAUGCAAGAGAUGAGUUUGUGACACCUACUUGGAUAGAUCUUGACUUGAUCUCUCCUCCCUGGCAACGGCGCCAGAAAUCCAUCUGCUACUGCGACAACAGACCUUCCCUGGCAACGGCGCCAGGAAUCUUGCUGCUAUGGCUACGCCUAUAGGGACUUCCUUGGCAAAUAUGCAAAGGAUUUCCCCGCGGCCUUGGAGCCUUGCGUUGGUGUUCCCUUGAAGAGGAAAGGGUGAUGUAGCACAGCGGCGGUAAGUAUUUCCCUCAGUUCGAGAACCAAGGUAUCAAUCCAGUAGGAGGGGCGUUCAAGUCACAAGUACCUGCACAAACACAAAGAGCUUGCACCCAACGCUAUGAAGGGGUUGUCAAUCCCUUAUAGAUUGUUUGCAAAGUGAGAACUGAAAGCAAAGAGUAAACAAAGCAAAGUAAAAGUGAAAGUGGAAACGAUAGUUGUGAAUAGACCCGGGGGCUGUAGGUUUAAAUAGUGGCUUCUCUCAUGAAAGCAAGUAGACGGUGGGUGAACGAAUUACUGUCGAGCAAUUGAUAGAACCGCGCAAAUUCGUGACGUUAUCUAUGGCAAUGAUUAUAUCUAUAGGCAUCACGUCCAAAACAAGUAGACCGAUACUUUCUGCAUCUACUACUAUUACUCCAUACGUUGACCGCUAUCCAGCAUGCAUCUAGUGUAUUAAGUUCAAAAGAACAGAGUAACGCCUUAAGCAAGAUGACAUGAUGUAGAUGAACAAUCUCAAAUCUAUGAUGAAAGCCAAUCUUGUUACCCUUGAUGGCAACAACAUGAUGCGUGCCUGGCUGCCCCUUUUGUCACUGGGAAAGGUCACCACAUGGUAUGAACCCAAAACCAAGCACUUCUCCCAUUUCAAGAAUCAUAGAUCUGGUUGGCCAAACAAAACCCAAGACUCGGAGAGACUUACAAGGAUAAUAAAUCAUGCAUAUAAGAAAUCAGCAAAGACUCAAAUAUAAUCCAUAGAUAAUCUAAUCACAAAUCCACAAUUCAUCGGAUCUCGACAAACACACCGCCAAAGAGGAUUACAUCGGAUAGAUCUCCAUGAAGAUCAUGGAGAACUUUAUAUUGAAGAUCCAAGAGAGAGAAGAAGCCAUCUAGCUACUAACUACGGACCCGUAGGUCUGAAGUGGACUACUCACGAGUCAUUGGAGAGGUGAUGAUGUUGAUGUAAAAGCCCUCCAACUCCAAAGUCCCCUCCGACAGGGCACCGAGAAGGGUCUCCAGAUGAGAUCUCGUGGAAACGGAAGUUUGCGGCGGCGGAGAAGUCUUUUCGUGGAUGCCCUGAUUUUUUUUGCGAUUUUAGGGAAUUUAUAGGCCAAAGAGCUAGGGCAGGGGAGCGCCAGGGAGGCCACAAGCCUGGUUGCCGCGGGCCCGCUGGCCGCGGCAACAGGGCUUGUGGGCUCCCUGUGGGCCCCCUGCCUUGGCCCUCACGUCCCCGAUCUUCUUCUGUUCUGGAAAAAUUUAUUUCGGGGAUUUUAUUCCGUUUGGACUCCGUUCCAAAAUCAGAUCUGAAAAGAGUAAAAAACACACAAAAAACAGGAACUGGCACUUGGCACUGAAUUAAUAAGUUAGUCCCAAAAAAGAUAUAAAAGGUAUAUAAAACAUCCAAAGUUGACAAGAUAACAACGUGAAACCAUCAAAAAUUAUAGAUACGUUUGAGACGUAUCAGUAAGCAGCCUCCCCACCCCACCCACCCGCCGCUUCACGAUCGAGAUCUCGAGCGAGCUCAGAUCCGCGGGGAGCAACCGGCGCGUGUUGCGCUCGCAGGGUAGAUAGAGUAGGGUUGGUCGGUCUUGUUUUCCCCAAUCCUGCUCUCUCAACCUCGUCUGGUCAUUGGUCGGGCGAUCAGAUUUAGUUUUGGUGGAUUCUGGCCAUUGCUGGUGCCGUAUUGACGCAACCUCCAAUGCCUUGCUCCUUACGCAGUUGCCUCUCCUCUUUCUUCCCAGCUUCGAUUGCAGGUAUGCAGAGCCAGAUCGUGUGCCACCAUUGCCGGAGGGUGCUGGCCUACCCGUCAGGGGCGCCCAGCGUGUGCUGCGCCAUGUGCCGAGCCAUCACCAUCGUGCCACCCCCAGCGCCAGGUACUUGAUCGCAGCGUCAUUUCAUUUCAGUUGCUCUUUUCGUGUUGGCAUGGCCUCACAACGUGUAUAACCAUUCCGAGGUUCAACUUUGGGAAUGUUAAUUUGGAGGUAAAAUAAGAGUUAUGACAAUUCUUAUAAAACCUAUGUGGAAGGAAACAUUUAUGAGUGCAUGCUACCAAAGAGUUAGCACGGGGUUUAAAUUUCACUCUGGCUACACACAUGUUUAGCUUCGUCAGAUUCUUUUCUGUGUUACUUUAGUUCAAGCUUCUGCAUGCCUAGUUUCACUACCUGCUGCUUGUAGGAUACUUACUCCAGCAUGGAUAAUAUCAGCUUGAUGGAUAAAUCUGUCUUUUGUUCUCAAAAGCCCAAGUGGUUUUCUGCAAAAAACUUAGAGAAGUAUUGUAAAUUCACAGGAAAUAAAAAAAUGUAAGUACCUGGUUUUCUUCUGACUGAAUCUCCAAAAUUACAUGGUUGUUAUAAACUAUAUGCUUUCUGUUGUAUUGUGAGCUGAUGGCGUUAAAUUCCCUAGUAAUAUUUUUUUCCCUGUUGGUGAGCUUUCAUCACUCUCCACAUUUUUGGCUGCCAAUAAGCUUGCACUUCCUGGUUCCAGCAUUUGGUAACUACUAACUAGAUCUGAAUAGCCAACCUAGUUAAGUUUGGAAGGUUUUUUGAGUCAUAUGGGGCUGAUGGCUGACCAGUUGGACACUAACAAUUAUCAAGAAAGUAUGAUCACAAACACGUGUUGGUACAAUUUUGUACAGUCUGGGCCGUGGUAGUACGGUUCUGUGCUUGCACGCUACCCUGCACAACUUUUUGUCAAGUUGCAUUCUCAAUCAAUUCAAGUUUGGAAGGUCGUUUUGUGUCCCAUGGGUCUGAUGGCUGACCAGCUGGACAGUAACAAUCUUGAAGAAAGUAUGAUCAGAAACGCCCCUUGAUAGAAUUAUGCAGAGUAGUAACGGGCCCGUGCUAUUACUGUUAUGUGCUUGCUAGCUCUCCUGUACAACUUUAUGUGAGUUGCAUUCUCAAGAGGAUCUCUCCCAUUUCUUCCUACCAUGCAUCACAAUCUCUUAACACAUCUUAGAAUUGGAUGAUUGAAUUUAAUAUAUCAGCCCUAUGGAUUCCGUACUGCAGUUCACUCUUCUCCCUACUCAUGUGCCAUUUAAUGCCAACAGUUUGCAUCCAAAACUGGUGUAAUCUUUCAAUCUUGUAUACUAUGAGUAGAUAUUAUCUCACUGGCAUUACUCCAUAUCACACUAAGGCAAUUUCUUCUGUUCAGGGAUAAGGCCUAUUUUGUGGAUCUCUUUGUAAAGGCAUUGAUACGUCUCAAACAUAUCUAUAAUUUUUUAUGGUUUCAUAUUGUUAUCUUGUCAACUUUGGAUGUUUUAUAUACCUUUUAUAUCUUUUUUGGGACUAACUUAUUAAUUCAGUGCCAAGUGUCACUUCCUGUUUUUUCUGUGUUUUUGACUCUUUUCAGAUCUGAUUUUGGAACGGAGUCCAAACGGAAUAAAAUCCCCGAAAUGAAUUUUUCCAGAACAGAAGAAGAUUGGGAGACUUGAGGGCCAAGGCAGGAGGUGUUGGAAUUAUGCCCUAGAGGCAAUAAUAAAUAUAGUUAUUAUUAUAAUUCCUAUAUCAAGAUAAUCGUUUAUUAUCCAUGCUAUAAUUGUAUUGAAUGAAGACUCAUUUACAUGUGUGGAUACAUAGACAAAACACCGUCCCUAGCAAGCCUCUAGUUGGCUAGCCAGUUGAUCAAAGAUAGUCAGUGUCUUCUGAUUAUGAACAAGGUGUUGUUGCUUGAUAACUGGAUCACGUCAUUAGGAGAAUCACGUGAUGGACUAGACCCAAACUAAUAGACGUAGCAUGUUGAUCGUGUCAUUUUGUUGCUACUGUUUUCUGCGUGUCAAGUAUUUAUUCCUAUGACCAUGAGAUCAUAUAACUCACUGACACCGAAGGAAUGCUUUGUGUGUAUCAAACGUCGCAACGUAACUGGGUGACUAUAAAGAUGCUCUACAGGUAUCUCUGAAGGUGUUAGUUGAGUUAGUAUGGAUCAAGACUGGGAUUUGUCACUCCGUGUGACGGAGAGGUAUCUCGGGGCCCACUCGGUAAUACAACAUCACACACAAGCCUUGCAAGCAAUAUAGCUUAGUGUAAGUUACGGGAUCUUGUAUUACGAAACGAGUAAAGAGACUUGCCGGUAAACGAGAUUGAAAUUGGUAUGCGGAUACUAACGAUCGAAUCUCGGGCAAGUAACAUACCGAAGGACAAAGGGAAUGACAUACGGGAUUAUAAGAAUCCUUGGCACUGAGGUUCAAACGAUAAGAUCUUCGUAGAAUAUGUAGGAUCCAAUAUGGGCAUCCAGGUCCCACUAUUGGAUAUUGACCGAGGAGUCUCUCGGGUCAUGUCUACAUAGUUCUCGAACCUGCAGGGUCUGCACACUUAAGGUUCGACGUUGUUUUAUGCGUAUUUGAGUUAUAUGGUUGGUUACCGAAUGUUGUUCGGAGUCCCGGAUGAGAUCACGGACGUCACGAGGGUUUCCAGAAUGGUCCGGAAACGAAGAUUGAUAUAUAGGAUGACCUCAUUUGAUUACCGGAAGGUUUUCGGAGUUACCGGGAAUGUACCGGGAAUGACGAAUGGGUUCCGGGAGUUCACCGGGGGGGGCAACCCACCCCGGGGAAGCCCAUAGGACUUGAGGGUGGCGCACCAGCCCUUAGUGGGCUGGUGGGACAGCCCAAAAGGGCCCUAUGCGCCUAGGAAAGAAAAUCAAAGAGAAAAAAAAGAGGAGGUGAGAAGGGAAGGAAGGACUCCCACCCACCAAACCAAGUCCAACUCGGUUUGGGGGGGGAGCCUUCCCCCCUUGGCUCGGCCGACCCCCUUGGGGCUCCUUGAGCCCCAAGGCAAGGUCCCCUCCCUCCCACCUAUAUAUACGGAGGUUUUAGGGCUGAUUUGAGAUGACUUUUCCACGGCAGCCCGACCACAUACCUCCACGGUUUUUCCUCUAGAUCGCGUUUCUGCGGAGCUCGGGCGGAGCCCUGCUGAGACAAGGUCAUCACCAACCUCCGGAGCACCAUCACGCUGCCGGAGAACUCUUCUACCUCUCCGUCUCUCUUGCUGGAUCAAGAAGGCCGAGAUCAUCGUCGAGCUGUACGUGUGCUGAACGCGGAGGUGCCGUCCGUUCGGCACUAGAUCGUGGGACUGAUCGCGGGAUUGUUCGCGGGGCGGAUCGAGGGACGUGAGGACGUUCCACUACAUCAACCGCGUUCACUAACGCUUCUGUUGUUCGAUCUACAAGGGUUCGUGGAUCACUCAUCCCCUCUCGUAGAUGGACAUCACCAUGAUAGGUCUUCGUGCGCGUAGGAAAAUUUUUGUUUCCCAUGCGGCGUUCCCCAUCAGUGGUAUCAGAGCUAGGUUCAUGCGUAGAUGUCUUCUCGAGUAGAACACAAAAGUUUUUGUGGGCGGUGAUGUGCGUUUUGCUACCCUCCUUAGUCUUUUCUUGAUUCUGCGGUAUUGUUGGAUUGAAGCGGCUUGGACCGACAUUACUCGUACGCUUACGAGAGACUGGUUUCAUCGCUACGAGUAACCCCGUUGCUCAAAGAUGACUGGCAAGUGUCAGUUUCUCCAACUUUAGUUGAAUCGGAUUUGACCGAGGAGGUCCUUGGAUGAGGUUAAAUAGCAACUCAUAUAUCUCUGUUGUGGUGUUUGCGUAAGUAAGAUGCGAUCCUACUAGAUACCCGUGGUCACCACGUAAAACAUGCAACAACAAAAUUAGAGGACGUCUAACUUGUUUUUGCAGGGUAUGCUUGUGAUGUGAUAUGGCCAACGAUGUGAUGUGAUAUAUUGGAUGUAUGAGAUGAUCAUGUUGUAAUAGAUAAUAUCGACUUGCACGUCGAUGGUACGGCAACCGGCAGGAGCCAUAGGGUUGUCUUUAUACUAAUGUUUGUGCUUGCAGAUGCGUUUACUAUUUUUCUAGGAUGUAGCUUUAGUAGUAAUAGCAUGAGUAGCACGACAACCUCGAUGGCAACACGUUGAUGGAGAUCAUGGCGUGGCGCCGGUGACAAGAAGAUCGUGCCGGUGCUUUGGUGAUGGAGAUCAAGAAGCACGUGAUGAUGGCCAUAUCAUGUCACUUAUGAAUUGCAUGUGAUGUUAAUCCUUUUAUGCACCUUAUUUUGCUUAGAAUGACGGUAGCAUUAUGAGGUGAUCUCUCACUAAAAUUUCAAGACGAAAUUGUGUUCUCCCCGACUGUGCAUCGUUGCUACAGUUCGUCGUUUCGAGACACCACGUGAUGAUCGGGUGUGAUAGACUCAACGUUCACAUACAACGGGUGCAAAACAGUUGCGCAUGCGGAACACUCGGGUUAAGCUUGACGAUCCUAGCAUGUGCAGACAUGGCCUCGGAACACAUGAGACCGAAAGGUCGAUCAUGAAUCAUAUAGAUGAUAUGAUUAGCAUAGGGAUGCUUACCACUGAAACUAUACUCAACUCACGUGAUGAUCGGACUUGAGCUAGUGUAAGUGGAUCAUGAACCACUCAAAUGACUAAGAGAGAUGUACUUUUUGAGUGGGAGUUUAGCGUAUAAUUUUGAUUAAAGUUAAACUCUAAUUAUCUUGAAUAUAGUCUAAGUCCACUUUGAAUAUAUUUGUGUUGUAGAUCAUGGCUCACGCUAUAGUCACCCUGAAUUUUAAUACGUUCCUAGAGAAAGCUAAGUUGAAAGAUGAUGGAAGCAACUUUGUAGACUGGGCUCGUAAUCUUAAGCUAAUCUUACAAGCUGGGAAGAAGGAUUAUGUCCUUAAUGCUGCGCUAGGAGAUGAACCACCCGCUACGGCUGAUCAGGAUGUUAAGAACGCUUGGUUAGCACGUAAGGAAGACUACUCAGUAGUUCAAUGUGCAGUCUUGUAUGGCUUAGAACCGGGACUUCAACGUCGCUUUGAGCGUCAUGGAGCAUUUGAGAUGUUCCAGGAGUUGAAGUUUAUCUUUCAGAAGAACGCCCGGAUCGAGAGGUAUGAGACCUCCGAUAAAUUCUAUGCUUGCAAGAUGGAGGAAAACUCGUCUGUCAGUGAACAUGUGCUCAAAAUGUCUGGGUACUCAAACCGUCUAGCUGAGCUGGGGAUUGAACUCCCGCAAGAGGCUAUCACUGACAGAAUCCUUCAAUCACUGCCGCCAAGCUAUAAAGGCUUUGUGUUGAACUACAACAUGCAAGGGAUGAACAAGUCUCCCGGCGAGUUGUUUGCGAUGCUGAAAGUCGCAGAGUCUGAACUCCGUAAAGAGCAUCAAGUGUUGAUGGUGAAUAAAACCACUAGUUUCAAGAGAAACGGCAAAGGCAAGAAGGGUAAUUCAAAGAAGAGCGGCAAGCCUGUUGCCAAUCCGACGAAGAAACCCAAAGCUAGACCUAAGCCUGAAACGGAGUGUUACUAUUGCAAGGGUAUGGGUCACUGGAAGCGCAAUUGCCCCAUGUAUCUGGCAGAUAAGAAGGCGGCCAAAGAAAAAUCAGGUAUAUUUGAUAUACAAGUUAUUGAUUUGUACUUAACCGGCUCUCGUAGUAGUGCCUGGGUAUUCGAUACCGGUUCUGUUGCUCAUAUUUGCAACUCGAAACAGGAACUGCGGAAUAGACGAAGGCUGGCGAAAGAUGAAGUGACGAUGCGCGUAGGAAAUGGUUCCAAGGUUGAUGCAAUCGCCGUCGGCAUAGUUUCACUUCAGUUACCAUCAGGAUUAGUGAUGAACUUAAAACAUUGUUAUUUAGUGCCUGCGUUGAGCAUGAACAUUAUAUCUGGAUCUUGUUUAUUGCGAGACGGUUACUCUUUUAAGUCAGAGAAUAAUGGUUGUUCUAUUUCUAUGAGAAACAUCUUUUAUGGUCAUGCACCCAAUGUGAGAGGAUUGUUCAUAUUGAAUCUUGAUAGCAAUACACACAUACAUAACAUUGAGACCAAAAGAGUUAGAGUUAACAAUGAUAGCGCCAUAUUUUUGUGGCACUGCCGCUUAGGUCAUAUUGGUGUAAAGCGCAUGAAGAAACUCCAUGCUGAUGGACUUUUGGAGUCACUUGACUUUGAUUCACUUGACACGUGCGAACCAUGCCUCAUGGGCAAGAUGACUAAGACUCCGUUCUCCGGAACAAUGGAGCGUGCAAGUGACUUGUUGGAAAUCAUACAUACCGAUGUGUGUGGUCCGAUGAGCGUGGAGGCAUGCGGCGGAUAUCGUUAUUUUCUCACCUUCACAGACGAUUUGAGUAGAUAUGGUUAUGUCUACUUGAUGAAGCACAAGUCUGAAACAUUUGAAAAGUUCAAGCAAUUUCAGAGUGAAGUUGAAAAUCAUCGUAACAAGAAGAUCAAAUUCCUACGGUCUGAUCGUGGGGGUGAAUAUCUGAGUUUCGAGUUUGGUGCUCACUUAAGACAAUGUGGAAUUGUUUCACAGUUAACACCGCCUGGAACACCACAGCGUAAUGGUGUGUCCGAACGUCGUAAUCGUACUUUAUUAGAGAUGGUGCGAUCUAUGAUGUCUCUUACCGAUUUGCCGUUAUCGUUUUGGGGUUAUGCAUUAGAAACAGCUGCAUUCACUUUAAAUAGGGCACCAUCAAAAUCCGUUGAGACGACACCAUACGAACUGUGGUAUGGCAAAAGGCCAAAGUUGUCGUUUCUUAAAGUUUGGGGAUGUGAUGCUUAUGUCAAAAAGCUUCAGCCUGAAAAGCUGGAACCCAAAGCGGAAAAGUGCGUCUUCAUAGGUUACCCAAAAGAGACAGUUGGGUACACCUUCUAUCUCAAAUCCGAGGGCAAAGUGUUUGUUGCUAAAAACGGAGCUUUUCUCGAGAAGGAGUUUCUCUCGAGAGAAUUGAGUGGGAGGAAGAUAGAACUUGACGAGGUUGUCGAACCUCUCAUCCCUCUGGAUGGUGGCGUGGGACAAGGGGAAACCUCUGUCGUUGCGACGCCGGAUGAGAAGGAAGUUAAUGAUGAUGAUCAUGAAACUCCGGUUCAAGUUUCUGUCGAACCACGCAGGUCGACGAGACCACGUGCUGCUCCAGAGUGGUACGGUAAUCCCGUCUUGUCAAUCAUGUUGUUGGACAACAAUGAACCUGCAAAUUAUGAAGAAGCAAUGGUGGGCCCGGAUUCCAACAAAUGAAGUCCGAGAUAGGAUCCAUGUAUGAGAACAAAGUGUGGACUUUGGAGGUACUGCCUGACUGCCGCAAGGCUAUUCAGAACAAAUGGAUCUUUAAGAGGAAGACGGACGCUGACGGCAAUGUGACCGUUUAUAAAGCUCGACUUGUGGCAAAGGGUUUUUCGCAAGUUCAAGGAGUUGACUACGAUGAGACAUUCUCACCCGUAGCGAUGCUUAAGUCCGUCAGAAUCAUGUUAGCAAUAGCUGCAUUUUUCGAUUAUGAAAUCUGGCAGAUGGAUGUCAAAACGGAGUUCCUUAACGGUUUCCUUAAGGAAGAAUUGUAUAUGAUGCAACCCGAAGGUUUUGUCGAUCCUAAGAAUGCUAACAAGGUGUGCAAGCUCCAGUGAUCAAGCAUCUCGGAGUUGGAACAAGCGCUUUGAUGAGGUGAUUAAAGCAUUUGGGUUUAUAGAAGUGGUUGGAGAAUCUUGUAUUUACAAGAAAGUAAGUGGGAGCUCUGUGGCGUUUCUAAUAUUAUAUGUGGAUGACAUAUUGCUGAUUGGAAACAACGUAGAGUUUUUGGAGAGCAUAAAGGAUUACUUGAAUAAAAGUUUCUCUAUGAAGGACCUAGGAGAAGCUGCUUACAUUCUAGGCAUUAAGAUCUAUAGGGAUAGAUCAAAACGCCUGAUAGGACUUUCACAAAGCACAUACCUUGAUAAAGUUUUGAAGAGGUUCAAAAUGGAACAGUCCAAGAAAGGGUUCUUGCCAGUUUUACAAGGUACAAGAUUGAGUAAGACUCAGUGCCCAGCAACUGAUGAAGAUAGAGAGCAUAUGCGCUCCGUCCCCUAUGCUUCAGCCAUAGGUUCUAUCAUGUAUGCAAUGUUGUGCACUAGACCAGAUGUUAGCCUGGCCAUAAGUAUGGCAGGUAGGUUCCGGAGUAAUCCAGGAGUGGAUCACUGGACAGCGGUCAAGAAUAUCCUGAAGUACCUGAAAAGGACUAAGGAGAUGUUUCUCGUGUAUGGAGGUGACGAAGAGCUCGCCGUAAAAGGUUACGUCGAUGCAAGCUUUGACACAGAUCCGGACGACUCUAAGUCGCAAACCGGAUACGUAUUUAUUCUUAAUGGGGGUGCGGUAAGCUGGUGCAGUUCCAAGCAAAGCGUCGUAGCAGAUUCUACAUGUGAAGCGGAGUACAUGGCUGCCUCGGAGGCGGCUAAGGAGGGUGUCUGGAUGAAGCAGUUCAUGACGGAUCUUGGAGUGGUGCCAAGCGCACUGAAUCCAAUAACCUUGUUCUGUGACAACACGGGUGCCAUUGCCUUAGCAAAGGAACCACGGUUUCACAAGAAGACCAGACACAUCAAACGACGCUUCAACCUCAUCCGCGACUACGUCGAGGGAGAGGACGUAAAUAUAUGCAAAGUGCACACGGAUCUGAAUGUAGCAGACCCGCUGACUAAACCUCUUCCACGGCCAAAGCAUGAUCAACACCAGAACUGUAUGGGUGUUAGAUUUAUUACAAUGUAAUUCGCAUGAUGAUGUGAGGGCUAGAUUAUUGACUCUAGUGCAAGUGGGAGACUGUUGGAAUUAUGCCCUAGAGGCAAUAAUAAAUAUAGUUAUUAUUAUAAUUCCUGUAUCAAGAUAAUCGUUUAUUAUCCAUGCUAUAAUUGUAUUUAAUGAAGACUCAUUUAUAUGUGAGGAUACAUAGACAAAACACCGUCCCUAGCAAGCCUCUAGUUGGCUAGCCAGUUGAUCAAAGAUAGUUAGUGUCUUCUGAUUAUGAACAAGGUGUUGUUGCUUGAUAACUGGAUCACGUCAUUAGGAGAAUCACGUGAUGGACUAGACCCAAACUAAUAGACGUAGCAUGUUGAUCGUGUCAUUUUGUUGCUACUAUUUUGUGCGUGUCUAGUAUUUAUUCCUAUGACCAUGAGGUCAUAUAACUCACUGACACCGGAGGAAUGCUUUGUGUGUAUCAAACGUCGCAACGUAACUGGGUGACUAUAAAGAUGCUCUACAGGUAUCUCAGAAGGUGUUAGUUGAGUUAGUAUGGAGCAAGACUGGGAUUUGUCACUCCGUGUGACGGAGAGGUAUCUCGGGGCCCACUCGGUAAUACAACAUCACACACAAGCCUUGCAAGCAAUGUAGCUUAGUGUAAGUUACGGGAUCUUGUAUUACAGAACGAGUAAAGAGACUUGCCGGUAAACGAGAUUGAAAUAGGUAUGCGGAUACUAACGAUUGAAUCUCGGGCAAGUAACAUACCGAAGGACAAAGGGAAUGACAUACGGGAUUAUAUGAAUCCUUGGCACUGAGGUUCAAACGAUAAGAUCUUCGUAGAAUAUGUAGGAUCCAAUAUGGGCAUCCAGGUCCCACUAUUGGAUAUUGACCGAGGAGUCUCUCGGGUCAUGUCUACAUAGUUCUCGAACCUGCAGGGUCUGCACACUUAAGGUUCGACGUUGUUUUAUGCGUAUUUGAGUUAUAUGGUUGGUUACCGAAUGUUGUUCGGAGUCCCGGAUAAGAUCACGGACGUCACGAGGCUUUCCGGAAUGGUCCGGAAACGAAGAUUGAUAUAUAGGAUGACCUCAUUUGAUUACCGGAAGGUUUUCGGAGUUACCGGGAAUGUACCGGGAAUGACGAAUGGGUUCCGGGAGUUCACCGGGGGGGGCAACCCACCCCGGGGAAGCCCAUAGGACUUGAGGGUGGCGCACCAGCCCUUAGUGGGCUGGUGGGACAGCCCAAAAGGGCCCUAUGCGCCUAGGAAAGAAAAUCAAAGAGAAAAAAAAGAGGAGGUGAGAAGGGAAGGAAGGACUCCCACCCACCAAACCAAGUCCAACUCGGUUUGGGGGGGGAGCCUUCCCCCCUUGGCUCGGCCGACCCCCUUGGGGCUCCUUGAGCCCCAAGGCAAGGUCCCCUCCCUCCCACCUAUAUAUACGGAGGUUUUAGGGCUGAUUUGAGACGACUUUUCCACGGCAGCCCGACCACAUACCUCCACGGUUUUUCCUCUAGAUCGCGUUUCUGCGGAGCUCGGGCGAAGCCCUGCCGAGACAAGGACAUCACCAACCUCCGGAGCGCCGGCACGCUGCCGGAGAACCCUUCUACCUCUCCGUCUCUCUUGCUGGAUCAAGAAGGCCGAGAUCAUCGUCGAGUUGUACGUGUGCUGAACGCGGAGGUGCCGUCCAUUCGGCACUAGAUCGUGGGACUGAUCGCGGGAUUGUUCGCGGGGCGGAUCGAGGGACGUGAGGAGGUUCCACUACAUCAACCGCGUUCACUAACGCUUCUGCUGUUCGAUCUACAAGAGUACGUAGAUCACUCAUCCCCUCUCGUAGAUGGACAUCACCAUGAUAGGUCUUCGUGCGCGUAGGAAAAUUUUUGUUUCCCAUGCGACGUUCCCCAUCAGGAGGCCCACACGGGGCCCACAAGCCCUAUAGCCGCGGCCAGGGGGCCCGUGGCUACUAAUCUUGUGCCCCCCUGGAGCUCCCCUACCCUAGCUCUUUCGCCUAUAUAUUCCCUAAAAUCCCAGAAAAAAUAAGGGCGUCCAUGAAACCACUUUUGUGCCGCCGCAAGCUUCCCUUUCCGCGAGAUCUCAUCUGGAGACCCUUCCCAGUGCCCUGCCGGAGGGGACUUUGGAGCUGGAGGGCUUCUACAUCAACAUCAUUGCCUCUCCAAUGACUCGUGAGUAGUCUACUUCAGACCUACGGGUCCGUAGUUAGUAGCUAGAUGGCUUCUUCUCUCUCUUGGAUCUUCAAUAGAAAGUUCUCCAUGAUCUUCAUGGAGAUCUAUCCGAUGUAAUCCUCUUUGGCAGUGUGUUUGUCGAGAUCCGAUGAAUUGUGGAUUUGUGAUCAGAUUAUCUAUGAAUUAUAUUUGAGUCUUUGCUCAUUUCUUAUAUGCAUGAUUUGAUAUCCUUGUAAGUCUCUGUGAGUCUUGGGUUUUGUUUGGACAAUUAGAUCUAUGAUUCUUGCAAUGGGAGAAGUGCUUGGUUUUGGGUUCAUACCGUGCGGUGACCUUUCCCAGUGAUAGAAGGGGCGGCAAGGCACGCAUCAUGUUGUUGCCAUCAAGGGUAACAAGAUGGGCUUUCAUCAUAGAUUUGAGAUUGUUCAUCUACAUCAUGUCAUCUUGCUUAAGGUGUUACUCUGUUCUUAUGAACUCAAUACACUAGAUACAUGCUGGAUAGCGGUCGACGUGUGGAGUAAUAGUAGUAGAUGCGGAAAGUAUCGGUCUACUUGUUUUGGACGUGAUGCCUAUAUGUAUGAUCAUUGCCAUUGAUAACGUCAUGUCUUUGCGCGGUUCUAUUAAUUUCUCGACAGUAAUUCGUUCACCCACCGUCUACUUGCUUUCAUGAGAGAAGCCACUAGUGAACACUACGGCCCCCGGGUCUACUCACAAUUAUCAUCUCCGCUUUUACUUUUACUUUGCUUUAUUUACUUUUUGCUUUCAGUUCUCACUUUGCAAACAAUCUACAAGGGACUGACAACCCCUUCAUAGCGUUGGGUGCAAGCUCUUUGUGUUUGUGCAGGUACUUGGGACUUGACGCACUCCUCCUGCCAGAUUGAUACCUUGGUUCUCGAACUGAGGGAAAUACUUACCGCCGCUGUGCUACAUCACCCUUUCCUCUUCAAGGGAACACCAACGCAAGGUUCCAAGGCCACGGGGGGAUCCUUUGCAUACUUGCCAAGGAAAUCCCUAUAGCCGUAGCCAGCAGCAGAAGGAUUUCUGGCGCCGUUGCCUGGGAGAGAUCAAGUCAAGAUCUCUCCAAGUAAGUGUCACAAACUCAUCUCUUGCAUUUACCUUUUUUGCCAAUUGCCUCUCGUUUUCCUCUCCCCCACUUCACAUUUGCCGUUUUCAUUUGCCUUUCUCCUUUGUCGUUUUCUUUUGCCUAUUUGCCGUUCUCUUUUGCCCAUUUCACUCGCUUACUUCCUGCUCAUUUGUGUCUGGGAUAGUCCAUCAAUGGCUAGACCCACCAUUCCAAACGAUACCCCUGAGAAUUAAGUUCUCUAUUUCAAGCAGAAUGAGGAAGAAAAUUUAAAGGACGCUUGGUACAGGAUUUGCAAUGCUGAAAGUAGAUCUACUCGUAAGCAAUCAACUACCGUUCUUCUUUGCCGUUUUUAUGUUGGCAUCUCUCCUUGGAAUAGGUAUAUUCUUGAUACCAUCAUAGGCGGGAAUUUUUUGGGGAGCCAUACUGUUGACUCCUAUGGAGCUAUCAUGAAUUUGGUAGGCUCACCCCCGCUCAUGGUUAAUGGAACUACCUUGACCUUGGAACACGUGAUGCAAAGGCUUGACGCCAUUGAAAACAAAAUUGCCACAAUUGAACUUAUUGAGGAUUUGGAUAGAAAGAUCCACAAUCAAAUUACUCAGUACGGAUCCAAAGUGGGAAUGGUUUUGAAAAAUUUAAGGGAGAAGGAACCUAUAGUUAAUGAUUCCUCUAGAAUUGGCAAACUAGAAGAUGUCAUAACCAACUUGGGUUCCGCUUUUGCCGCUGUGCAAAAUACUCCAAGUCUCACUCUCAAAAAGACCGUCAAGUUUGUUUUUGUUCCUAAAGCUAGUGGUGAGUCAUCCAAUAAACAUGAAGAUCUUAAGAUGAUAAAUGAUCACACUACUUAUGGUUUGAGCACCAAAGAUGACUAUACGUAAUUCCAUCACCUUAUGCCUAGCGCUUGUUGGGAGGCAACCCAAUGAAUCUAUCCUUUUUCUUUCUGUUUUGUGUUUUACACACUUUCAUAAUUCUGUUAUGAUUCUGUUUUUGUGUUUCUUUUGCGUUUGUGCCAAGUGAAACUGCUAUGAUUAGUCUUGGGGAUGAUCGUUUGAUCAUGCUGGAAAAGACAGAAACUUUCUUCUCACGAAAAGAAUUUUCAUUUUUUUCUGUCAGAGAUUCGAAGCUGAUUCUUUUUGCUGCUGAUUUCUACGCAAAUUAUUCAGACUGUCGUAAUUUUUCAGAAUUUGUGAAGUACCAUAAGAAUACGAAGUAUACAGAUUGCUACAGACUGGUGUGCUGUUAACAGAUUCUGUUUUUGUUGAGUUGGUUGCUUAUUUUGAUGAAACUAUGGAUAGUAUCGGGUGGUAUUAGCCAUGGAAGAUUGAAAAUACAGUAAACCAACAUCAACAUAAGUAGAAUUUAAGUUUGCUACAGUACUUAAGGAAGUGGUGAUUUGCUUUCUUGUACUAAUGAUAUCACGAGCUUCUAUUUAAGUUUCGUGUUGUGAAGUUUUCAAGUUUUGGGUGAAGUUCUUAUGGACAAAGAGAUAAAGAGUGGCAAGAGCUCAAGCUUGGGUAUGCCCAAGGCACCCCAAGUUGAUUCAAGGAUGCUGAAAAAGCCUAAGCUUGGGGAUGCCCCGGGAAGGCAUCCCCUCUUUCGUCUUCAAUCCAUCGGUAACGUUACUUGGGGCUAUAUUUUUAUUCACCACAUGUUAUGUGUUUUGCUUGGAGCGUCUUAUAUUGUAGGAGUCUUUUAUUUUUGUUCUGUCACAAUCUUCCUUGCUGCACACCUAUAGAGAGAUACAUGCACUCACCGUGAUUUUCUCGAGCUUCACUUAUAUCCUUUGGUUAGGCAAUUCAGCUCACAUGUGUUUCACUUAUAUCUUUUGAGCUAGUUGAUUUUGCUCUAUGUGUUUCACUUCUAUCUUUUAGAGCACGGAAGUGCGUGGCGUGGUAGUUGAUCUAUGCUAUGAAAGUAGUCUCAAAAGGGGUAGUUAUCCAAAGGGAUAUGAAAACUUCCACCUUCAUGUGCAUUGAGUAGUUAGAGAAGUUUGAUUCAUCUCAAUUAGUCUUGAGUUGUGGUUGUGGUAAUAUUGAAGUUAUACUAGUAAGGUGUUGUGGAUCUAGAAAUACUUGUGUUGAAUUUAGUGAUUCCCGUAGCAUGCACAUAUGGUGAACCACUAUGUGAUGAAGUCUGAGCAUGAUUAGUUUAUUCACUGUCAUCCUUUGUGUAGCGGUUGGGAUCGCGCGAUGCUUUAUACCUACCAACCCUUCCCCUAGGAGUAUGCGUUGAAUACUUUGUUUCGAUUACUACUAAAACUUUUGCAAAAAGUAUAUGAGUUUUUCAUGACUAAUGUUGAGUCCAUGGUUUAGAUGCACUUUCACCUUCCACCAUCACUAUCUUCUUUAUUGUCGUGCAACUUUCGCCGGUGCAUAAAACCCACCAUAUAGCCUCCCUCAAAACAGCCACCAUACCUACCUACUAUGGCAUUUUCAAAGCCAUUCCGAGAUAUAUUGACAUGCAACUACCACCAUGACAUGUGCCACCACUUCUACAUUGCCAUUGCAUGAUCAUAAGAUAGCUAGCAUGAUGUUUCCAUUGAUGUCUAUGCCAUGCUAGAUCAUUGUCACGGUACACUACCGAAGGCAUUUCAUAUAGAGUCAUCAUUGCUCUAAGUUUUGAGUUGUAAGUGUGAUGACCAUCAUUAAUGGAGCAUUGUCCCAUGUGAGGAAAUAAAAGAGGCCAGCGAAGCCCAUUUAAAAAAACAGGCCCAAGAUGCCCACAAAAAAAAGAGGCCAAAGAGCCCACCAAAAAAAUGAGAGAAAAAGAGAGAAGGGACAAUGCUACUAUCUUUCCACACGUGUGCUUAUUAAGCACCAUGAUCUUCAUGAUUGAGAGUCUCUCGUUUUGUCACCACCAUAUAGCUAGGGAAAAAUUUCAUUAUAUAACUUGGCUUGUAUAUUCCAAUGAUGGGCUUUCUCAAAAUUGCCUUAGGUCUUCGUGAGCAAGCAAGUUGGAUGCACACCCACCAGUUUUCUUUAAGAGCUUUCACAUACUCUUAGCUCUAGUGCAUCAUUUGUAUGGCAAUCUCUACUCAUUCACAUUCAUAUCUAUUGAUGAGCAUCUCCAUAGCUCAUUGAUAUGCCUAGUCAAUGUGACCAUCUUCUCCUUGUUUUCCUUGCAACCUCCACCACACUCCACUCCACUUAUAGUGCUAAAACCAUGUCUCACACUCAUGUAUUGCGUGAGAGUUGAAAAAGUUUGAGAAAGUAAAGGUGUGAAAACAAUUACUUGGCCAAUACCGAGGUUGUGCAUGAUUUAAAUUCGUUGUGCAAGGAUGAUAGAGCAUAGCCAGACUAUAUGAUUUUGUAGGGAUAACUUUCUUUUGGCCUUGUUAUUUUGAAAGUUCAUGGUUACCUUGCUAGUUUGCUUGAAGUAUUAUUGUCUCCACGUCAAUAGCAAACUAUUGUUUUGAAUCUAACGGAUCUGAACAUUCAUGUCACAUAAGAGGAGUUACAAAGGACAUCUAUGCUAGGUAGCAUGAAAGAAUCAAAAAUUCAUUCUUUAUCACUUCCCUACUCGAGGACGAGCAGGAGUUAAGCUUGGGGAUGCUUGAUACGUCUCAAAUGUAUCUAUAAUUUUUGAUGGUUUCAUGCUGUUAUCUUGUCAACUUUGGAUGUUUUAUAUACCUUUUAUAUCUUUUAUGGGACUAACUUAUUAAUUCAGUGCCAAGUGCCAGUUCUUGUUUAUUUUUUGACUCUUUUCAGAUUUGAUUUUGGAACGGAGUCCAAACGGAAUAAAAUCCCCGAAAUGAAUUUUUCCAGAACAAAAGAAGAUCGGGGGACUUGAGGGCCAAGGUAGGAGGCCCACAGGGGGCCCACAAGCCGUGUAGCCUCGGCCAAGGGGGCUGCGGCUACCAAGCUUGUGGCCCCCCUGGAGCUCCCCUGCCCUAGCUCUUUCGCCUAUAUAUUCCCUAAAAUUCCAGAAAAAAUAAGGGCGUCCACGAAACCACUUUUCCGCCGCCGCAAGCUUCCGUUUCCGCAAGAUCUCAUCUAGAGACCCUUCCCGGUGCCCUGCCGGAGGGGACUUUGGAGCUGGAGGGCUUCUACAUCAACAUUAUUGCCUCUCCAAUACCUCGUGAGUAGUCUACUUCAGACCUACGGGUCCGUAGUUAGUAGCUAGAUGGCGUCUUCUCUCUCUUGGAUCUUCAAUACAAAGUUCUCCCUCGAUCUUCAUUGAGAUCUAUCCGAUGUAAUCCUCUUUGGUGGUGUGUUUGUCGAGAUCCUCUCCNNNNNNNNNNNNNNNNNNNNNNNNNNNNNNNNNNNNNNNNNNNNNNNNNNNNNNNNNNNNNNNNNNNNNNNNNNNNNNNNNNNNNNNNNNNNNNNNNNNNUCAAAUCAGCCCUAAAACCUCCGUAUAUAUAGGUGGGAGGGAGGGGAGGAGGCAGCCUCAAAACCUAAAGGUUUGGCCGAAAUUGGAGGUGGAGGAGUCCUACUCCAAUCCUACUUGGAGUAGGAUUCCACCUUCCAAAGGGGAGGUGGGAAGGGAAGGAAGGACUCCCACCCACCAAACCAAGUCCAACUCGGUUUGGGGGGGGGGGCCUUCCCCCUUGGACUCGAUCCUACUCCAAGUAGGAUUGGAGUAGGACUCCUCCACCUCCAAUUUCGGCCAAACCUUUAGGUUUUGAGGCUGCCUCCUCCCCUCCCUCCCACCUAUAUAUACGGAGGUUUUAGGGCUGAUUUGAGACGACUUUUCCACGGCAGCCCGACCACAUACCUCCAUUGGUUUUUCUCUAGGUCGCGUUUCUGCAGAGCUCGGGCGGAGCCCUGCUGAGACAAGGUCAUCACCAACCUCCGGAGCGCCGUCACGCUGCCGUAGAACUCUUCUACCUCUCCGUCUCUCUUGCUGGAUCAAUAAGACCGAGAUCAUCGUCGAGCUGUACGUGUGCUGAACGCGGAGGUGCCGUCCGUUCGGUACUAGAUCGUGGGACUGAUCGCGGGAUUGUUCGCGGGGCGGAUCGAGGGACGUGAGGACGUUCCACUACAUCAACCGCGUUCACUAACGCUUCUGCUGUACGAUCUACAAGGGUACGUAGAUCACUCAUCCCCUCUCGUAGAUGGACAUCACCAUGAUAGGUCUUCGUGCGCGUAGGAAAUUUUUUGUUUCCCUUGCGACGUUCCCCAUCAGGAGGCCCACACGAUGCGACGUUCCCCAACAGCUAGGUACAUAAGUGAACCGAUAAUUUGAGAGAAUCUUAAUUGAUCUAUAGUUGUGCCUUUAAACUUUCGAAUAAGCACACUAGGAUCAUAUGGUGUUUGACAAAUUUUGAAGUCUGAAUAUCCAAAGUGACUCAAAAUCUUAUCAACAUAGUGGGAUUGCAGAAGUGUAAUCCCACCCUCAUCAUCUCUCAACAGCUUGAUGUUCAAGAUAACAUCAGCCACCCCAAGGUCCUUCAUCUCAAAGUUUUGAGAUAGAAAAGACUUAACCUCCUCAAUUACUUUGAGGUUGGUUCCAAAUAUCAGUAUGUCAUCAAUAUACAAGCACAAUAUAACUCCUUCGCCCCCACCAUGGCGAUAGUAUACACAUUUGUCAGCUUCAUUAACAACGAAGCCAACAGAUGUCAAAGUUGUAUUAAACUUCUCAUGCCAUUGCUUAGGUGCUUGUCUCAGACCAUAUAAAGAUUUCAGCAACUUACACACCUUUCCUUCCUGACCUUCUAUCACAAAGCCAUCUGGCUGUUGCAUAUAGAUUUUCUCAUUUAACUCCCAUUCAGGAAAGCCGUCUUAACAUCCAUUUGAUGAACGAGAAGACCAUGAGAGGCCGCCAAUGAGAGUAGUACUCGAAUGGUGGUCAGUCUAGCCACAGGUGAAUAAGUAUCGAAGAAAUCUUCUUCCUCUUUCUGGGCAUAGCCCUUGGCCACAAGCCUAGCCUUGUACUUUUCAAUCGUACCAUCGGGCCUAAGCUUAUUUUUGAACACCCACUUGCAUCCCAAUGGUUUGCAACCAUAGGGACGAUCAGUGAUUUCCCAUGUCCCGUUAGCCAUGAUGGAAUCCAUCUUGCUACGAACCGCAACUUUCCAGUAAUCAGCAUCUGGAGAAGCAUACGCUUCUGAAAUAGAAGAGGGAUUAUCAUCCACGAGGUAUACGAAGAAAUCAUCACCAAAGGUCUUUGCAGUCGUUUGUCUCUUGCCCCUACCACGGGCUUCCUCGUCAUCCUCCUCAGGAUUUUCAUCAUGUGUUUGUUCAUAUUAUUCCAUAGGAAUGGCAGGCUCAGGAGUUAUCUCAGAUUCCUGUCUAGAAGUGCUUUGCAUAUCUCUCAUGGGAAAUAUAUCCUCAAAGAAUGUAGCAUCCCUCGACUCCAUUAUUGUACCGACCUUCACGUCAGGUACCUCAGAUUUCACUACUAGAAAUCUAUAGCCUACGCUAUUCUUAGCGUAUCCCAAAUUAACGCAAUCCACAGUCUUUGGUCCAAGCUUACGCUUCUUGGGGAUCGGUAAAUUGACUUUCGCCAAGCAGCCCCAAGUACGUAAGUACGAGAGCGUCCAGCCCCAAGUACGUAAGAACGAGAGCGACGUCCUUCUCUUCGACCACUCCUCGUAGGGAGUGACCUCAUUAUCUUUUGUAGGAACUUUAUUCAGGACAUGACACGCGGUCAAUAUAGCCUCCCCCCACCAUGCCUUGGAUAAACCCGAUGUAUCUAACAUGGCGUUAACCAAAUCAGUUAGAGUACGGUUUUUCCGCUCGGCAACCCCGUUUGACUGGGUGAAUAGGGAGGCGUCCUCUCAUGAAUAAUGCCGUGUUCCGCACAAAAUGAAUCAAAUUCCUUUGAGAAGUACUCUCCACCACGAUCAGACCGGACUCGUUUAAUUUUCUUUUCAAGUUGAUUCUCAACUUCUACCUUAUAGAUUUUAAAAUAGUGUAGAGCCUCAUCUUUAGUAUUUAACACAUACACAUACAAAAUCUAGUGGAAUCAUCUAUCAAUGUCAUGAAGUAUUUCUUUCCACCUUUAGUCAACACACCAUUCAUCUCACAAAGAUCAGAAUGUAUGAGUUCUAAUGGUGCCAAGUGUCUCUCCUCUGCAGCCUUGUGAGGCUUGCGAGGUUGCUUUGCUUGCACACACGAAUGGCACUUAGAACCUUUGGCUAAAGUGAAAGUUAGGAUUAAAUUCAGUUUUGCUAGCCGCGACAUAACACCGAAACUUAUGUGACAAAGACGUGAAUGCCAAACUUCAGAUUCAUUAACACUCGAAUGAAUAUUGUUCACGACUUUAUUACAAAAAUCUGUAAGAGAAAGGCGGAACAGACCUCUGCAUUCAUAACCUUUUCCAACGAAAAGUCCAUAUUUCGUAACUACUACUUUAUUAGACUCGAAUACCAACUUAAACCCUUCUCUACACAGAAGGGAGCCACUAACGAGAUUCUUCUUGAUGGCGGGGACAUGCUGCACGUUCUUCAGCUGCACGAUCCUUCCCGAAGUAAACUUCAGAUCGACCGUGCCAACACCAAGAACAGAAGCACUCGCGCCAUUCCCCAUCAAUACGGACCCGCGACCGGUGGCCUGAUAAGAAGAGAACAAUGAUAAGUCAGCACACACAUGAAUAUUUGCACCCGUGUCCACCCACCAAUCGAUGGACUGACAAACUGUAAAUACAGUAAGUAAAUUACCGUACCCAGAUGCACCACUUUCAUUGUUGCCCACAAUCAUAUUGGCAGACUUGGAGUCCUGCGCCGGCUUCUUGUACUUGUUUGGGCAUUUGUUCGCCCAAUGUUCCUCUGAACCACAAGUAUAGCAGCCAUCUCCCUUCUUAUUCUUCUUGAAGGGCUUCUUUCCCUUCUUCUUGAAGUCGGUAUUCUGCUGGACAGAAUUCUUUCCCUUGGGCUUGUGAGAAUUGAAGUUCCUCUGAUGUACCAUAUUGGCAGCAGAAGAGCUUUCCACCACUUUUCCAUUGGAGUCCUUUGCUCUCGAGUUCUGCUCAACACUCAGAUGGCCGAUGAUGUCCUCUACUGAGAACUCACGCCUCUGGUGUUUCAGAGUAGUAGCAAAGUUCCUCCAGGAAUUAGGGAGCUUAGCAAUUAUACAACCCGCGACAAACUUGCCCGGCAAAUUGCACUUAAGAACCUCAAGUUCCUUAGCUAUGCAUAUUAUCUCAUGAGCUUGUUCCAAUACAGAACGGUUGUCAACCAUCUUGUAAUCGUUGAACUGCUCCAUAACAUACAUCUCACUCCCAGCAUCGGUGGCCCCGAAUUUAGAUUCGAGCGCCUCCCACAAGUCCUUGGCAACAAGCAUAUGUAAAUAUGCAUCAACCAGCUUAUCUCCGAUCACGCUAAUGACUGCUCCAAGGAAUAGGACGGUGGCCUCCUUAAACAUCUUCUCCUGUUCAGGAGUGACAGUUUCCGUAGGAGUGACACCGGCUACCCAGAACACGUUCAUAGCUGUGAGCCAUAAGGUGGUUCUUGUUUGCCAACGCUUGAAAAAAGUACCGGUAAACUUAUCCAGUUUCAGUGCAGCAGCAAAACCAUUACUCGAAAAAUUCCUACAGACAUUAGGUUUUUGGAUUGUUGAGUAAAUAGGCAAUUUUCCGAGUGUAUUAAUCCACGAGAUAAUAACUAGCAUGGCAUUGACUAGACUAAUGAUAUACUGAUCUUGAGCUAACCUAGCACAUACUACGCAUAUAGUGGAUACAUCUAUGCAGACAAGUAGUACUGCUAGGAUAAAUACGAACAUGAGGAUAAACGAGUCAUACCCUCCAAUCGGCCAGUUGGCCGUAGCAGCAGCGGCGGCGGCGGCAGUAUCCUCUGCCGCCUUCUUCUCGGCUUCGGCCUUCUCGUGGAGACGGUCAGCUUCGCUUGGUGAAGACAUGGCGAUGACGAGGGCGACGCGGACGUAGAGGAAGCAGACGGACGGAGGCGAGCAGUCGCGUGAUCGCUCCCCAAAAACCUAAUCGCCCCUCUCCCGUACAGGAACCGGAGAGGCGAGGUUUCGGAGGCCUGCUCUCCCGUCGACCGUGUACGCGGUAAACGGGACGGAGUCGCCGGCGGCAGCAGCAGUUCAAGAAACGAACGCGUGAGGCAGAUGUGAUCUGAUUCUCGUGACGGCUAGGGUAGGCGAUAGCCUGCUUAUAAAGGCGGCUGGGUGGAGAGACGUGGGCCGAACCCACGUCCGAGUCGGUAACAGCCCACGAUCCGACGUCUCGGAUCGUGCCGUGUCCGUUAAGUAUUCUCCGUUCCUGACCGGCAAAAAUAAGCGCGUAAGUAUGAGCUCGGCACAUUCCCGCAACCCGCGUCGGGGCGAGGCGUGGCGGGCGGCGGAGGAGGAGUGCGCAAGGGCACCUUCUCUUCUCACUCUCCAAUAGCAUGUGGAAGAGAGACCCUUAUAAAGGGGUCCAACUUCUCCUCCACUAGCGGGGUGGGACUAAACUUCCCACCACCCUGUCAUGCCACCACCUAAUUGGGCCCUUCGAGAUUUUUCUGAAAUUCUCUAAUGGGCCUAAAGCCCACUACCAAUUUCAACAUAAAAGACCAAAAAGGCUUCCCCUAAUUUCUAGGGAACGUCCAAUUCAAUACACAAUGAUGAUUUAAAUUUUCACACUGUCAAAGCUACCAUUGAAUGCAUAGCAUGGAGAGGAACAGUGGACAUUCUAUGUCGAAAAGUCUGCACCGAAUCUCUUUGCUUCGCAAUCCACAUCAAACAUUUAAGCUCAAGUGAAGUUUCAUUGGAGAUUGCAGAUCCUCAUUAACUAUUUGACUUCCCGUUCUAGUUUAGCCUAGAUCUAGACCAAAUGACUGCUGUUUGUCAAAUAGUCAUCCACAGCGCAAAUUCACAACACCGAAUAUAUGCCAAAAAUUCAACUCUUGUCAUCAGCCUCACAAAAUAACUUCUGUGGAUGCAGGAAGUUUGAAAAUUUCAAAGAACAAUUGAAUUACGUGAGCAUCAAAAAAGGAUUGACGCAUUCUAUUGGAAAAAUUCCUGCAAUUCAUACCAUCUACUCGAUUACCCUUUUGGGACGAAGAAAAAAUUGUUACCUGUUUAUGUGAAGUCCUGUUUGUGCAAAUUGAUGACACCAAGUUUAUGCCCAAAAAUUCAACUCCUGGCAUCAGCCUGGCGAAAAUAACUUAUGUGAAGGCAGGAGCUUUUAACUUCAGAGAACAAUUCAAUUCCGCGGGAAUCAGGAAAGAUUCUCCCGUUCCAUUGGAAGGAUUCAGGCAACUCAUACCAUCUACUCCUUUUUUUGGUGGGCACGCAAAAUAAUUUAUUACCCAGUUCUAGAAAAUGAAGAAUGUUCAAUUGGAAGCUCUUGAGCAGUGUCCCAACUAUUUUUGUUGAUCGGUAACUUGAUGACUGAAGGAAUGGUCCGGACCACUGCAUAAUUGACAUUGUUGCAGUGUCGAAAUCUAGCGAAUGAGUCAUCAGUCAUCACCAUGUAAUAACAGACAUUCUUCAAUAGUGCUUGCAUUAACUCUGUUCAACUCUUCAUCAAGUGCACGCUCAGCUACAAAGAAUGAAAGACCACAAACCACUAGAUCCAACCUGUCACUGAUAAUGUUGUAAGUUCAUCGAACUCUGACAGUGGGUAGAUUGCAAGGUGAGGUACAUUAUGGUAACGGUAUAAUUUAUGUAGUAAUAAAAUCUGACGAAACGAACAACACGGUUCAUUUGUUCGGGCAAAUGCAUGGAGGCAGUCAAAAUUUCUAAGAUAACCCUGAAUGAGGGGCAUGAAUUCUCGUGGGGGUGAAUUGUGCUGUGACUAAAUAACCCUGAAUCAUGGGCAUGAAUUCUCCUGGGGGUGGAUGAAAAUGUGAUUAACAUGCAGUCGGCUUAAGUAAUUAAGCAUCGUUAGUUCAAGUUGAUAACUAGAUCAUGUGACUCGAUGCGUUGAUUUUCUUGACCAAAUCAUAUAAUCUCUGCAAAGACACUUUUUGAUAUUAGGACCGGAUCGUAGUAAUCUGUCUGGGGCAGAAUGGUCAAUCCAGCCAUACGGUGACCUAGAAGUCACUAUAUCAAAUAUAAUCUUGUGCCGGGAGUCAAAAUUUGACAACGCAAAGGUCUUAUAGUAGUACAAAAUAUUCAACCCCUUUCCAUUUGCCUAGUCAAAAGUAGAACUAUUGGGUAGUUAUCUGCAUUUGCUGCCCCUGAAUACUUAGCUAUCAUCUUCCAAAAAAAUAGGGCCCCUCGUGUUGGUCUCUUUGCUUCCAGCGAUCGACGGCGGCUAAGAGAUCACAAGAAACAAGGAACAUAACAUGCAUGCAUUACACGACCGACAGUGACGCAAAUUUAUGUAGCGUGAGCAGACCUGAAAACGGUCACAUGGUUAUCUCACAUCUCCCUUGGCUACCCUGUUUCAGGAUACUAUUCAUGGAAAGAUAUUGCCGGCCAACCUGAAAGGAACAUUUCUGUCACUGGACCUCGAGGGUGAUGGUUGGAAUGGAUCUUGGCUGCUUGACCUUGUAGAUCAUACCGAAUUUGAGCUGGGUUGUAGAGCAUGCUUCCUGGAUAUUCUCUCUGUCCAGGACUCGGUACAACUGUCAGUAACAAUGCUCAUGAUGUUGUUAUUAUCUUGUAGCAGUUGCUCUUCUGACCUAAUAGUAUCCAUUAGCUAGCAGCAGAACAGCAUUUCUGGCUGCAAGCAAAAGAGAGAACAACAUUUGUAAUAAGUCAGGGAUCAUCACAUGUACGCAUGUUGCCUCAUUUGACAGUAUGAGCAGCACUACUAUACUGCAUUUGUGAGGGGUGUCUCCAAUCUCUUAAAUGAUGUUGCUAAGAACUACAGUCUUCAAUGAAUUAUUAGGCGCAAAAGUACAUUUUCUUCUGUUGAUGUUGAGUCUUUCGGCCCUGGUUUUAGCUCCCUUUUUCCUAUAAGUUGGUUGGACUGAAAGGGGCUAACGGUUGACGCGCUGUACAUUUUAUGGACGAAAUACAGGGAACUGCUAUACUGAAAGGAGUGAGCAAUUCAACUUCUACUGAUGUAUCUGUAUGGUCCAGAGAGGAGAUAAUAUGCCCAUCUUUUUGACGAAAUAGGUUACACAGAAUUCCACAAGCAUCAGAAUACUUGAAGUAAAAUAAAAUCCGACACCGUAUCAGAAGUAGUAACCAGAUAUCUAACACAUUCGCGAUUUUGCUGCGCGGUAGUCGUCUGAAUAGUAAUAGGAUGGGACAUAAUUUUCUUAUAAGUUCUGUUCACCAAUCAGAAUCUGUGAAGAAACGAGUGAUAAAUUUCAAAGCUCACCAAACAUCAUCUGCGGCCAGGAUAAUAACCAACGUGCUUAAAACAAACUUGUCGCCUUGGAUGAUCACAUGAUCUUUCCUUGUUUGGGUUUCAUUCUGAAAUCUAGCAUGACAAUUCCAGAGCGUCGAUAUCACAUCCCAGAAAAUAGAUGACACUUGCCUCUGGUCAGUGCUACGUGUUACAAACAAAAGACAUGCAUUUGACCACAUCCCAGAAAAACGAGUAGAUCACACACGUCUCUGGUCACCGAGUAUGUAAACAGAAACAGAAAUUGCAUCAACCCUAAUCUGGUACCCAUUUUUCCCAAGUGUAAUCAAACUCUAAUACGUUAACUAGGUAUUAGCGUGGACCGGUUAAGCUGAUCUACAGUGUAUUAGCAGCCAAGCUGGGCAAUCUAGGAACGACUCCUGCUCUUGAUCCUGUCAAUCAAUCAAUAACCCCACCAGUCACUUCUGUCGACCCAUGGUUAAUUAUCCUUAAAAAAGGUGACAAGAGGCGGUAAUAUGCUGCUUCCAGGUGAGAAUUCACACUAGCUAGUUUACUCAGUCAUCCCAAACAUAAACAACCAGACACUUUGAUUAGUUCUGCCUAUACAGAGAUAUAUAUAUAGGAUCGUGUGACUAUGUCCAACACCCAGUAAAAAAAACUCACCACGGGUGGCCUUUUCUCCCGUGCCAGUUCCUGUUUUGUGUUGAGAUGUGGAGCAUCGAUCCGAUGUCGACUCUUGAGUAGAGGACAAGAUCCGUUCAAAGGCGCCAUUUUUCUUUCUCACUCUCUUGGAAGGUUCGAAAGGAUGAGAUGAAGCUUCUGCAAAUAGAAAGGUGAAAGGUAAAAGAUCAAAGAGUAGGAGAAAUGUUCUUCCCGGUUGUUGGUGCAUCAGUAAUAUUAUUUACUGGUGGGCGUACGCGUGCGCACUGACGUAUUGUAUGUCCAUGGGAAACAGCAGAGAUUCCAAAGCUUCCAAAGAUUUUAAUUGGUUAACGGCACCUUCCGAGAAGAAACGAAUGGGAUGCCAAAGGUCAUGGACUCAAAUGGUCAUGUGGAUGUUGUCUGCAUAGCCACGUAAGUCAAACGGGGCUUGUUGUUUUACUGACCACUUGCAACGUUCGACAUGUCACUGCAUUUUUCAUUGCGUCCGGAAGGCGGGUAUGAUUUAGACAGACGAUGUCUACAAUGUUCUUUCCCUGUCAAUUGUCGAUAGAUUGCUUAAGUAUAUAAUCUCUAAAUUUGUGAGUGUAAAGAACAGUUAAAUAAUUGCAGUAUAUAAUCUUCAGAUCUUCAGAUCCGGUGGUUGUCGUCGACAGUGAGAUGCAAUCUAUGAACGAUAACUCGACGCAGAGGGUAUGGUUGUAUAGCAGCGACGGUCGGUUUCUAAUCCAGAUCGUGCGGCUGCUAGGAUCGUGGAAAAGUGGUGGCGACGACACAUGUUUGAUUUCGAUGAUGGUGCUCCUCGACUACCAAGUCUCGAGCCGCGGGGUGAAAACCUAGGUGUGCCACAAGUUGGUUGUACCUGUCAAUGGCAAUAUUUUUGUAUUGUUACCUUAUUGAAGACAUUGAUCGAGUAUGGUCUGACUGGUUCUUCAUGGUUUUCACCUAGACUCUGGCUUUUUGUGAUUAGAUCCGGUGACGGGGUGUUAGAACAUCGUUCCCUUCUUGAAGGCGUUGCCGUUGAAGAACCUCGUUGUCCUUGUGAUGUCAUGAAAUGGUUGGCGCGGAUAUGGUUAUUUGUUGUAGAUUGUAGAUCGCGGAUUUCAUCACUUUGUUUUUUUUUCUUGCUUAGGCAUAGCUUUGGUCUUAUAUGACUUUGCUAUUUGCCAGCGGUCUUUUGUGUGUGCAGUUUAGUGUUGGAUGUGUGCAUCGUAGCUAUGCAGAGGCCGGGUGUGCGCUCAUUUCGAUUGUACUAACUUGAUACUUUAUUUGAAGUAAUAAAAUCCCCCCCGACUGAAUUUUAGGGAUUUUCAGUACAAACAAAGGUGUGUUUGACUGAAUUGUCUCAUUAAAAGCCUGGUUGUAGUGGAUCCCCCCACAUCCAUGAAUUAUGUUGUAGUGGAGACUUCAACUGCAUGCUACAAGGCUAUAUUCUGCCCAGCUUACAUGCACUUUUCCCUAACAUAGUACAAACUCAUGAGGUUAAACAAACACACAUAAUAAAAGCAUGUCCACAUAUCAUAUCCCUAUGAACACCUCUGAAAGAUCGAGUCAACAUUAUCUUGAGAUUCACAAAGACACCACAUGCGUUUUUGUAGUCAAUGGAAACGUAUCCUUUCACUGAACGAAUAUUGCGGAAAGCUUGAAAUAAAUUCAGGAGAAUGCGAGCACCGGUGCCAUGUUUAGGACAUGAACCCUGAUGGGAUGAUUUUACCAUAAAGAACAUAACCAUCUGAGAUUGGCUCAGUUCGUCAUACUACAUGCACUUAUUUGUGUUGGUAAAACGUUGUAAUGUGACCCACGAAGAAGAAGUUGUAACAGUGCUUGAAAAGAAACAUCAUAUGAAGGUAAGUUUUACGCAGAAAUCUGCAAGGGCACACACCUGUCAAACCCUGUUCGGUUGCCUGAUUGCCUCACAAUUCAUGAAGUAGUUGGAUCUCACAUGAGGGCAUAGUAAGUUCUAAGUUUUAGUCGUUGAAACUUAUGAUUUUUCAUGUGAAAAUUCCUAUUUUCUCGGUUGCAAGUAUCAUGUUUCAGAGUUGGAAUUUUAAGCAAUUUUCUUUGUCAGUCGCAGGUACUAAAUUCCUGAUUUUAUCAGUCGUUUGUACUAAGUUUCAAGAGUUAAAACUUAACUAUUUUUUUCCAAAGUUGGACGAAACAUAUUUAUUUGUAAAGCCCUCGUCACCAAAAACCUAUUCCGGAUUUUAUUGUAAAGCCCUCGUCACCAAAAACACUAAUAUGAAAACAGAAUUUAAUUUGGAUUUUUUAAUCAAAAGAUACGGAAGAUUGAAAAUCGAAAGCCAAAACAAAAAGCACGGAUGAGGGACUCAGCCCUCUGCACGUGCGUGUCCCAAAUCAUUUCCUCAAUUUUACGUGGCAUUUUAUGAAAACGUGUACAUGCAGUAAUGAAUGAAGCAGAAAAAAUAGACCUCUUGAUGGUACGUGUACUAGCACUCACCACGGAUAAUAAUAAUAAGUUACUAUACUAAAGCGAAAAGGCUUUGGUUUUUCUGAUUUUUUGGACUAUUUUGGGAAAGUUACUGUUUAACUACGUGGCCAGUGUGACCAGCGACGGUGAACAACAACUCAAGUACCCCACACACCAUAAACAGUGUUCGCAAUGAACAUUACCCCGAUCGUGAACAGUACCUAACAUUUGUAUCCCUAUAGCGUCGCUAAUAGCAUGUGUAAAGAAUUGUCUCGCUAAAUAUCUCCAUCGAUGCGUUCACCUAUGAGGGGAAAAUAACUGAUGUCAUGCAGAAAAAAUACCAAAAAAUGGAGACUCCUUCUCCCUCGAUGGUUCACCUACUCGAGAAGAAUAGCCGAUGUGUUGCCAUCGUCUACCUCGCGUUCUCCUUCUCUGUGGCCAACCAUAUCGAGGCUUCAACCACAAUGUUGUCACUGGAGCUACCUCCAUGACGCGCCCUAUCACGACAGCCUAAGCAACCAACGAGAAGAGACAACAUGAAAAUAAAAAUGUUCGCUCGACCAACCUCUUCACUCCACUCCCUAUUAUAUUUCUUUGACCGAUUCAAAGAUAAAUACAAGAACAUUGGCUUAUCCAUAGAGGGUAGUGUGUGCUAAAAAAACUAUUGUAAAGUCAGUUAUUCCUUACCCACCAAAAUUCUCUCGAAGUAUGGGGAUACUACUCAUCCUUUAUCAUAGUUUAAAAAGCACAUUGGGUAGAACGUCCUGUUAUCACAUUAAUCAUUAAUAGAUAUUCUGUUAAAAAAUCUCUUUGCCAAUUACUAUCAAUUUUUACGCACCGACAGAUUUAGGGAUCAAAUUUCUUGCAAAAAUUUAAAUUUAAAUUUAUUAAAUAAACACAUAUAUAUUCGAAACAUAAUGAAAGAGCACCGACUAGGAACUGGAUAUUAAUAGGUCAGCCGGUUUGUUUAAGUUGUUAAACCGUUAAUAUUUGUCACUCCGUACAUGGCUACACAAAUUAUGGAGCAGAGAUAGAGUUUGUGCUCUCCUUUUUAUUUUAUAUUCGCAUGUAAUACAUGAUGUUUUCCUGCUUAUUUAGAAAAAUGACGCGACCGGUUCAGCCAAUAACACGUACGUGACGAAGUAGAUACACAUUUACAGACGUAACAGGAAUUAGCUGGAAAUUACCCGCUUAGGUCCUGAUUGGAUUGACGUUUUACAAUGCCAUAUACCUGUAAAUUAUACAUACCUACAUUCAUCGUGUAUUUUUACAGACGAAAAUCAACUAAGACCAACAUAAUACCCCUGUGAAAUAUAUGCAGACCUUGUUUGGUAUUUGUGUUUUUGAAGAGAUUGGUGGGGAUAAUUCCCUAAGGCCUUGUUUGGUACUAGUGUAUUUGAGGGAAUUUGUGGGGAUUAUCCCGGUCAAACCCCUCAAUCCCCACACAUCCCAUAACACCAUUUGGUUCUAGUGUAUUUGACAUGUUUCAUCCCCACAUUUCCCGUCAAAUCCCCAAAUUAUAGUGCAUUUUUCUCAAUACUCAAUACACUACCCCUACCUAGUGUAUUGGGGAUUAUCCCUACCAAUCUCCUCAAAAACACUACUACCAAACAAGGCCUAAGGGAUUGGAUGAAACCCCAAUCUUCAUCCAAUCCCUCCAAAUCCGCAUUUAUUCCCAAUACACUAGGUAGGGGUAGUGUAUUGAGUAUUGAGAAAAAUGCACUAUUAUUUAAGGAUUUGAGGAAAAAUGUGAGGAUGAAACAUGUCAAAUGCACUAAAACCAAAUGGUAUUAUGGGAUGUGUGAAGAUUGAGGGAUUUGACCGGAAUAAUUCUCAUAAAUUUCUUAAAAUACACUAGUACCAAACAAGGUCGCAUGUGUAUAAAAAUACACGGAUGCCAAGCGGGGCCUUAGCCGCCGCAGAAAUCACGCUUAGCCUCCAUUCGUGGCUGCCGGCGUGGCAUGCAUGCAUGCAGACGAAGCGGCGGCUAACCUGGUCCGACGUUGGCCAUGGAUAACGACCGUUAGGUGAGCUUGUUUUUGUGUGUGCACGCACGUUCGGGAAUGCGUCCCUUUCAUCUUUCAACGUUGUUCCAACAUUCUUUCACUGCAAAAAAAGGGUUCCAACGUCCCCACAAGCCCGGGAUUUUUGUGAAGAUUUUUCUUUUGUGAUGGCAUAGAUUGAGAAGAAUAGGGAUCUUUCCCCCCUUCAUGAAUUCGUAUUUUAAAUGAUCCUGUGCUAGCUCAGCCAUUGCGUAUGGCGUUUCAGUCCAGUCCAGUCCAGACCAUGUGUUGCAAGAGCAUGCUGCGUUGCAGAAAUACAACAUGACUUCUUUGGAUCGCUGGAACUGUAACUUGGCCACGAAUGCAAUGGGCGACGUGUCAUGUUUUUUUGACCCAGGAAACGAUGGCCUUGACGUUGUCGUGUGUUCUGUUACGUAAACGUGUCACAUUUUCGUUCCGAAGGAAGGAAAAAAAACAGAGCCUUGUGAGAGAAAUGUAUGUACUCUACGCAAGUGAUUCCACGGCUUUACUUGUGCGGGAGCGAUGGUAGGUGCCAGCGGAUUCUCUAACGAGUAGAUGUUCCCUCCUAUGAGAAAUUUACUGCAUGGAUCAGUCGGCGUGGACACAUAUUGCGUCGACCCAUUGUUUCUAAUUUCCUCUAAGCUUUGUUUCAGUGCUAAAUAUCUCCAAAUCCGGACUCUCUGUUGGCUCCAGAUCUUAUCUUAAAAGUGUUUCCCUUUUCAAGUAUUGUGUUUCACUGCUUCAUGCGCUGCGGUAUGAAUGUGAUCCCUGGUGACAUGAUUGUCAUGGAUGAUGGAGAAGGAGAAUAUUACGGGUAGCAUCAAAUUCAAAACAAAAUUGCCUUUCUGAUGAUAUUUUGCUAGCUUGUCAUUUUUUUUCUAGUUUGGAAAGGGAGUCCUCCUUCAGCCUAAUGUGUGCCAUCUUUUGCAACAAAAUUGUGAUCGUGCGCACCCAUGCGGAUGCAUGGAUGAUUGUUUUUCCUUUUAGAAAAAAAGACGGGCAUUCACCUCACAAAGAGAUGGCAAUAAAAACAUACUAUGAUGCAUGGUUAUCCCUUGGUAUUAUAUCUAGUAAGUAAUCAAUCCACUCGUCUAUUUUUUUUAUGAUCAAAAUCAUCUUACAUUAUGAAACGGAGGGAGUAUAAGAUAUAUGACUAACGAAUCAUUUGAACAAUGGAGAAAAACAUAUUAUUUUAACGGUUUAAAGUUCAUCUCUUGACUAAAAAAAAGACAACCUCCUCUCGCUUAUCCUCCAUCUUUAAACUCAAUAAAAUCCAAUGUCACAUUCUAUAAAAGAAAGCUGGCAUCACAUCAUUGUAUGUGCCUUAUUCAUUGAUUCACAUUAGAAAAAAUGAUUUUGAUAAUUCUCAUAAGCAAGAAAAUUCCUUAACCACAACAAAAAUGAAUAAAUGUCUAUGUUGCACUCCCUCUAAGUCAAAAUAUAGCACAUAUUAAUUUUAUCUUAAGACAAACUUCACAAAAUUUUAUCAAGUUUAUACAAAUAAUCACCAACACGUACAAUACCAAAUCUACACCAUUAUAUCCAUCACUAGAUAAAAUUUAAUCUGAUACAUACUCGGCAUUGCAAAUACUGAUAUAUCUUCUUUAAACUUAGUCAAAUUUUAUAAAACGCGACUUGGAAAAAUCGAAUAUGCAGUUAUGCACUAUAUUUUGCUAUAAAUGAAGGUACCAAUAGGCACAGUUUUUUUAGAGGUAAUUACCCCAUUGGUGCUUAAACUUGCCUCGGAUUUGCACUUUAGUGCCUGAACUUGCAAAAUACAUCGAACUGAUCUCAUAACUUGGCAUGAACACGCAAAUACGGUUCAAAUCGCAUUUGUAUACAUCCAUGACACUGAUGAGGCACGUCAGCCUAGUAAGGGGACCACUGUCAUUGAUCAGACGACGGGAAGAAAGACGCGGGGCCUAGUUUUUUGCGGAACCCUCCUCGAAUAAUUUUCCUCUUACAAAAACCUUUCGGAUAAAAACAACACAACUUGUAUAAAAUUAAAAACUGGUCAACCACGGGUUCGAACCCAGGGUGUGUCGCUCGGUUGUGGGUGUGCCUAGCCAUUGGACAAAAUCACAUGUACAUGAUUGAACAUAUUUGCAUACGGAGUACUUUAGAUACUAAGUCUGAUCAACAUAAACGAAGAAAUUUAUUUCAGAAAAAUAGUACUAGAUCAAUGAUUCGAACCUGCACUCUAAGGACAAAUAGCGACCACAAAUACCAAUCCAACGCGCAAAAUGUUAUAUUACAAAGUAUAAUUUCUCUUCAUAACAUAAUGUGCUGGUGUGGGUAAAACGACCGUGGUGCGGACCAUUUUUAAUGUGUUAAUUUUUUCCAUUUCAAAAAUUUGUAAAAAGUUACAUACAUUAUAAUCUUCUGUUGUAAAUAAUACAGACACAAUUAAAGUAAAAUAAAUUUAUAAUUUUCAUAUGAUUUCAUAAAAUUAAUACAUAAUAAUUUAACAAAAAUAAGCAUUAUUAAAUUACUAUAAUUAUGAUAGUAUUUUUAUAAAUUUAAAAGUGCUAGAAUUUUAAAUCAAAUAUUAUAUUAAUUUCAUAAAGUUACGUGUAUUUUAAUAAAUUCUUAUAUAUGUUUAAUUUUUUUCAUGUUUGUAAUUCAUGUAGUAUUUAAAGUUUUCAUGCUUUAAGAAAAUGUUUGUAUUGUUUUAAACUUUAUAUAGAAUAUAAAGGUUUGUGUGUUUUAAAAAAAGGAUCCCAAUGCGCCCUUUAAUUACAGAUCUUCACAUGAAUAAUAUUUGAAUUAUACAAACAUUUUUAUAAUUCAUAAGUAUUUCAAGUUAUGUGAAUAUGUUUUAAAAUACAGUAACAUGUAAAAUUUUAAAUCAUAAAUACUCUUAUACUUUAGAAACAUGAGACCUUUUGGUUGGAGUACUAUCUGAGGUUGCUAUAUAACCAUUGGUCGGAUGUAUGAGUCAGAAAUCCGACACUAUAUUUUGCUGGAUUAAAUUCCUUUAAUUUAUGUUGUUUCACAUAGUGUGUAUAAAACAUAUGAAUCCUUGUAAGACAUGGCGUGUAAAUGUUUGAUUGGCUAGUCAUGUCUGCAUGUUAACUGCAAGUCACAAGUUCGAACUCCUAGCAGACCAGUUUUAUUUACUUUCUCUAGGAGGGCCUACUUAUAAAAAAAAAUCAGGUGGUUUUCUAAAAAAACUAGGCCACAUGCCCUAUUUCCAUACGUAUACUCAUUGAUAGCGGGCCACAUGGCACACUGGAACGUCUCGUGAGCAUUGUGGAUGUAUAUAGAUGAGAUUUGAACCGUAUUUGCACACCUAUGCCAAGUUAUGUAACCAGCUCGAUGUAUUUUUCAAGUUCAGGCACUAAAGUAAACAUUCAUGGCAACUUCAAGCACCACCGGUGCAUUUACCUCUUUUUUUUUAAAGCAACGGGAGCGUACUAGAAUAUAUACUUGGUCAGAACCGACAUCAAUCGAUCACCUUCUUGAAGAUAACACAUGCAUACGUGUCAUGGCAGUAUUGCUCACAUUUGCUCCGCCGUCAACAAAGGCAACAUAUAUACAUAUCCUGCUGCUCUCCCUCAUCGGUUCUUUUUAGUGUGUGGCAAAACGACUUUACUUUUGAUCUUACCAAAAACAACAUACUUUACGUUGCUUCCCUACUCCACCGGACUGUCCCCCGAAGGUUUCUUCUUUUUUCCUUGCCCAGUCCCAUCUCCGUACAUACGGUUUUUUCAGUUGACAUGCACAAACUGGGCACAACAUCAUGCCAAGUCAGAGAGAGUACAGUGGAUUCGUGCCUUAGCCCGGUGGUGCUUAGCACUUAAGCGCGGCAUCGCAUGCGUCAUCACAGAGAAAUUAGGGAAGAAGUCGUCCAACCAAAGAUCUCGGUACCCUUGAGCCUUGAAACCCUUGACACCAACAAAACCGAAUACGUUCGCAUAUACUCCUUUCUCUCUUGUCAGAGGACCCAGUCCGAGGUUAUGUGUGAGCUCAUGCCUUUUGAUUAUUUUCCCGUCGACCUGUUACACUCGCAGGGACUCUUCUCGAUUGGGCGCCAAGUUGCAUGCACUUUGCAUGUUAUACUAAGCUAAGUAAGCUUUCUCAUUCGCACACACAGAUUAACCCUCCUUUUAACAAAAAAUAGUGAAUUACAGAAAACAUCGAAUUGAAGGUUAGAGUUGCAAAAACGAAAAUUCUAUAGUUUUGUCAAAAAUGACAAAUUUCGAGGCUAAAUUUUUGCAGUAAACACUAGUUGGUGACUUAGACCGAUUUAAGCUUAAUUAUGACAGGUGGGUCGACCCGCAAAGGGUGACAUGGCAUAACAGCUCAUGUUAGGCUUCGUUAGAUGAGGAAUAAUCUAUAUUUAUAAAAUAGUUCCUGUAAUUUUACAGUGCCACCCUUCACUAAAAAUAAAAAAAGCAUUCAGAUCAUUGGGAUUUGGGAGAGCAGCACCACGUAGGCCAUGGGUCACAUUGCCCGCGAGGUGACACAUCGUAGGACUCUUCCCCCUCCUCUCUAGUGUGUGGCGCUGCCUGCCACCAUGGUUGAAGCCUCCAUAGAUGGGCCACUUCAGGAGCGGGUGGAGGUCAUGCGGUAGGGCGGGCUUGAGGGCCUCCGGUGCUGCGGUUGAAGGGGAGGUCUUGCCGGCCAAGAUGUAGGUCGCCGACCCUGUGUAGUCGUGCUCAGGUGGAUAGGGGCGGCGCCUGGGUCGUGCAUCGGCGGACAUGGACAUCGCUGGAGAUGGAUGGGCGUGGAGCGACACCACGGAGCGACCCACUGUUGAUGGCGCUGGGCGGUUGACCUCCUCCUCU
This 67661-nucleotide long non-coding RNA is filed under the name Hordeum vulgare. RNAcentral's name for it is "long non-coding RNA (HVUL_LNC013938)". Lineage: Eukaryota; Viridiplantae; Streptophyta; Magnoliopsida; Poales; Poaceae. The record is from RNAcentral.